RNAcentral lists this long non-coding RNA (75297 nucleotides) under Hordeum vulgare. RNAcentral describes it as "long non-coding RNA (HVUL_LNC010906)". Lineage: Eukaryota; Viridiplantae; Streptophyta; Magnoliopsida; Poales; Poaceae. The record is from RNAcentral.
AGGAUCUCCCUCAUGUCACUCCUACCUUGAGAGGAAUAUAGGUCUUGGUAGAAUGACAGUAUCUCAGUCUGGUCCUCCUCACUGGUCGCACAAACUGAGCCGUCUGCCCGCACCAGGCCACAGAUCUUAUUCAUACGUUGUCGUUGCUUUGCCUGGGCAUGGAAAUACUUUGUGUUGCGGUCACCCUCUUUCAACCAUCUUACUCUGGAUCGUUGCCGCAUCCAGAUUUCUUCCUGCUUCAGAGCCAACCGGAGUUUCGCUGCAGUUGCCUUUUCCUCAUCAGAUGGGCCACGCCCAACCGAAGACCGCCGCAGCUUAUCAAGCUUGCGCUGUAACUGACGGACAGACCGGGCCAAACAACCAAAUUCUUUCGCACCCCAUGGCUCGAGGGUUCUCUGUAAUGUUCCCACCGACUCCAUGAUCCUGUGACAACCCGAUGCCGACGUUCCAGAAGAUUCCCCUCUCUUUCUGUUUUCGUCGCGUGUCUAUUUUAUUUGUUGCAUCACCAUCGCAUCAUGCACAUCAUCUGCAUGCCAUCGGUGUCUCCGUUGCCGCCAGUUUUCAAACUUGCACCCGUUGUUAGUUGCCGGUUAACGUCGUUGUUCAUUCCGAGCCCGACCGCACUCGCACGCGCCCGCGGCACCGUCGAAACCCUGUUUUUAAAGUGCAUUUAAAACUUUCUCUGAUCGAGGUGAAACUUGGCACGCGGUCGCGAAUAGAUAUAGCUAGGCCGCCUGUCGAAUUUCGUCGCGAUCGGAGACCGUCUGGUACCCGAACGGUCGACCGUAGCGGCACCGUAUUCGGGCUACCGUCGGACGUCUGUCAGUGUUUUAAAAUUCGUGCCGCGCCGCCCGUUCUCCCUCUCAUCUCCGGUUAUCCCCUCUACACGGCCGCGUACCCAUACCCGUGUUCGAAAUUGUCCAAAUCCGACCCCGUGGUUGGAUCCGGAGCGCGAUUCCGGUUAACCGAGCCCCCCGUUUGUCUAUAUAUAGGCCCCUUCCUUAAUUUUAGGCAACCAACCCUAAUACCACCUUGGGAUCCGCGCCGCCCCACCUCUCCUCUCUCUCCCGCAGCCUCUCUCCCCACCAGCCUCGCGGCCCCGCCAGGCCCAGAUCAGGCCCGGCCGAGCCCAUCCGGCCGCCGCCGCCCGUGCCCGCAGCAGCAGCCCGAGCCGCCUCCAGCCGCCCGCCGCCGCCGGAGCCCUCUGCGCCUCGCCCACCGGAGUUCCUCGCCCCGCCACCGUCGGGAUCUCGCUGGAUCCGGCCGCCGCACCCUCGCCUGCGCCGUCCGCCGCCGUCAGCCCCUGGUCGCCGCCUUCCCUGCGGGCUUGCCGCGCCGUCCUCUGCUUCCCGUGCUGGCUACCUUCGUCCCUGCCUCGAGUUGCCUCGCCGCCGCCUCGGUCCUGCAGGUCCGGCCGGUCCCGCCGCCGCCAUGCGCCGCCACCCGAGCCCGGAUCCGGUCCCAGUGCUCGCCGUGGUUGCCCUCGGCCUCCCGUCGGCGACCUGCGCCGUUGCUGCUUCCGAGGGCACGGGAGGGCGCUCCUCGACCCCGCGUUGACCGCGAUCUGCCUCUGCUGGGCCCGAGCCGGCCCAGGACAGGGUGCUCCCGCAGUGGCCCAGCUCGCGCCUCGCCCUCGGCCCAACAGGAGCAGCAGCUCCAUCCUCCAGCGCCCGCCAGUGGGCCCCGCGGCCGGCCCAGCUCGCCAGUCCCGUCGGCCCAAGCGGCCACGCUGGUGAGCCCACUCCCUACCUCUAUCCUCCGCCAUGGCGUCAUAUAGCUAGUACGCGCAUGCCCCUCUGUUUAGGCUUGUUAACAGAGUCGGCCCAGUAGAUAUUUAGGAUUUAAUCCGAAUUUAAUCCGUUUUCAGAAAAAUAGACGUUUAAUAAAAACCCCGUAACUUUUUAUCCGUAAGUCGGAACGACGCGUAUUAUAUAUGGUUUUGUGGUAGUUUCGCGCGUAGAAUACGAAUUUGAAACUUGCAUAUUUAUUUGACGUCGUUUAGCGUGCUGGUUGCCUAGAUAAGCGUGCUGUCCUAAUAGGUUUCGACUCGUAUUUAUUUUUCGUGCAAGACCGGGUUCCUCGAGUGCCUUAGAUAAAAUGUAUAUGUUUUAGGGACUAUUUAUCCAUGUAUUUUAGACCAGUCAUUUGUAUUUUUGCGUGUACGGAUUUGCCGGUAGUUUAUUUUCCCGUAUAUAGGUGUUUAUUUCGCAUUAAUGUGUGGCUUUAUUAUGUGUUGCAAACCCCACAUAUUUUAUAUGUUUCCGGGGUAGAAAAAUCCAUGGGAUUUUUCUGUGCAGUUAGUUUUAGCUUUUGGAUAAGUUAGUUCGCGAGAUAUGUUACCGUGUUGGCCUUUUGAUUAAUUCGUAGGAUUUAUUCCGUGCCUCGUUUGAGUUAGUUGUCAACUAGGGAGUUGAUCUUGGAUGUUUUGUUUAGCCCCUGAUAUUUUUAGUUGCAAUAGAAAUGCAUGUUUAGGUGUGUUUCGAUAGCCCUCAAGUUGCUAGAAAUAGUGCUGUUUUAGACGUGCUGAAAUAUUUCUAAGUCUGGAAUCUGGUAUAUUUUGUUGCUGUCUUGUCUUGCUUCUAUCUUUNNNNNNNNNNNNNNNNNNNNNNNNNNNNNNNNNNNNNNNNNNNNNNNNNNNNNNNNNNNNNNNNNNNNNNNNNNNNNNNNNNNNNNNNNNNNNNNNNNNNAGUGUUCCGCGUGCGCAACUGUUUUGCACCCGUUGUAUGUGAACGUUGAGUCUAUCACACCCGAUCAUCACGUGGUGUCUCGAAACGACGAACUGUAGCAACGGUGCACAGUCGGGGAGAACACAAUUUCGUCUUGAAAUUUUAGUGAGAGAUCACCUCAUAAUGCUACCGUCGUUCUAAGCAAAAUAAGGUGCAUAAAAGGAUUAACAUCACAUGCAAUUCAUAAGUGACAUGAUAUGGCCAUCAUCUCGUGCUUCUUGAUCUCCAUCGCCAAAGCACCGGCACGAUCUUCUUGUCACCGGCGCCACACCAUGAUCAUCCAUCAACGUGCUGCCAUCGGGGUUGUCGUGCUACUUAUGCUAUCACUACUAAAGCUACAUCCUAGCAAAAUAGUAAACGCAUCUGCAAGCACAUAUGUUAGUAUAAAGACAACCCUAUGGCUCCUGCCGGUUGCCGUACCAUCGACGUGCAAGUCGAUAUUUCUAUUACAACAUGAUCAUCUCAUACAUCCAAUAUAUCACAUCACAUCAUUGGCCAUAUCACAUCACAAUCAUACCCUGCAAAAACAAGUUAGACGUCCUCUAAUUUUGUUGUUGCAUGUUUUACGUGGUGACCAAGGGUAUCUAGUAGGAUCGCAUCUUACUUACGCAAACACCACAACGGAGAUAUAUGAGUUGCUAUUUAACCUCAUCCAAGGACCUCCUCGGUCAAAUCCGAUUCAACUAAAGUUGGAGAAACCGUCACUUGCCAGUCAUCUUUGAGCAAAGGGGGUUACUCGUAACGAUGAAACCAGUCUCUCGUAAGCGUACGAGUAAUGUCGGUCCAAGCUGCUUCGAUCCAACAAUACCGCGGAAUCAAGAAAAGACUAAGGAGGGCAGCAAAACGCACAUCACCGCCCACAAAACCUUUUGUGUUCUACUCGAGAAGACAUCUACGCAUGAACCUAGCUCAUGAUGCCACUGUUGGGGAACGUCGCAAGGGAAACAAAAAUUUUCCUACGCGCACGAAGACCUAUCAUGGUGAUGUCCAUCUACGAGAGGGGAUGAGUGAUCUACGUACCCUUGUAGAUCGUACAGCAGAAGCGAUUAGAGAUCGCGGUUGAUGUAGUGGAACGUCCUCACGUCCCUCGAUCCGCCCCGCGAACAAUCCCGCGAUCAGUCCCACGAUCUAGUACCGAACGGACGGCACCUCCGCGUUCAGCACACGUACAGCUCGACGAUGAUCUCGGCCUUCUUGAUCCAGCAAGAGAGACGGAGAGGUAGAAGAGUUCUCCGGCAGCGUGACGGCGCUCCGGAGGUUGGUGAUGAUCUUGUCUCAGCAGGGCUCCGCCCGAGCUCCGCAGAAACACGAUCUAGAGGAAAAACUAUGGAGGUAUGUGGUCGGGCAGCCGUGAGAAAGUCGUCUCAAAUCAGCCCUAAAACCUCCGUAUAUAUAGGUGGGAGGGAGGGGAGGAGGCAGCCUCAAAACCUAAAGGUUUGGCCGAAAUUGGAGGUGGAGGAGUCCUACUCCAAUCCUACUUGGAGUAGGAUUCCACCUUCCCACUUGGAAACUCUUUCCACCUUGUGUUUUUUCCUUCUCAAACCUUAUGGGCCUUAGUGGGAACUUAUUCCAGCCCACUAGGGGCUGGUUUAUCUCUUCCCAUAGCCCAUGAGACCCCUUGGGGCGUGACACCCCUCCCGAUGGUCCCCGGCACCCCUCCCGGCACUCCCGGUACACUACCGAUGAGCCCGAAACUUUUCCGGUAAUGCACGAAAACCUUCCGGUAACCAAAUGAGGUCAUCCUAUAUAUCAAUCUUCGUUUCCGGACCAUUCCGGAAACCCUCGUGACGUCCGUGAUCUCAUCCGGGACUCCGAACAACAUUCGGUAACCAACCAUAUAACUCAAAUACGCAUAAAACAACGUCGAACCUUAAGUGUGCAGACCCUGCGGGUUCGAGAACUAUGUAGACAUGACCCGAGAGACUCCUCGGUCAAUAUCCAAUAGCGGGACCUGGAUGCCCAUAUUGGAUCCUACAUAUUCUACGAAGAUCUUUAUCGUUUGAACCUCAGUGCCAAGGAUUCGUAUAAUCCCGUAUGUCAUUCCCUUUGUCCUUCGGUAUGUUACUUACCCGAGAUUCGAUCGUCAGUAUCCGCAUACCUAUUUCAAUCUCGUUUACCGGCAAGUCUCUUUACUCGUUCCGUAAUACAAGAUCCCGUAACUUACACUAAGUUACAUUGCUUGCAAGGCUUGUGUAUGAUGUUGUAUUACCGAGUGGGCCCCGAGAUACCUCUCCGUCACACGGAGUGACAAAUCCCAGUCUCGAUCUAUACUAACUCAACGAACACCUUCGGAGAUACCUGUAGAGCAUCUUUAUAGUCACCCAGUUACGUUGCGACGUUUGAUACACACAAAGCAUUCCUCCGGUGUCCGUGAGUUAUAUGAUCUCAUGGUCAUAGGAACAAAUACUUGACACGCAGAAAACAGUAGCAACAAAAUGACACGAUCAACAUGCUACGUCUAUUAGUUUGGGUCUAGUCCAUCACAUGAUUCUCCUAAUGAUGUGAUCCCGUUAUCAAGUGACAACACUUGCCUGUGGCCAGGAAACCUUGACCAUCUUUGAUCAACGAGCUAGUCAACUAGAGGCUUACUAGGGACAGUGUUUNNNNNNNNNNNNNNNNNNNNNNNNNNNNNNNNNNNNNNNNNNNNNNNNNNNNNNNNNNNNNNNNNNNNNNNNNNNNNNNNNNNNNNNNNNNNNNNNNNNNUUUGUAAUAAAUUGAAUUAAUAUUAUGUGUUUGAAAAUACUAUUCGAUGUUAUUGAGAUGAUGAAAAUUAUGAUAUAUCAAAUGACAGUUUUAAGGGUUGGGAUUGAGGCAAAGACUAGAACCCUCAAAUGCAACCCUUAUAACAGAAUCCCUCAAACCCAACCCUUAUAACGGAAUCCGUUAUMRKRGUWGGUGGUUUGAGGGUUCUAGCCUUUGCGUUUGUUUUUCAACCCUUAAAAGUGUCAAAAAUAACCAAUUCUUUAACCCUUAAAACUGGUUUUAGAUUUAAGGGUUUGAGGACUCUACUAGACAUGCUCUAACCAUCCAACCACGGGUUGGUUUGCCUAUCUCGGGCCCUUGAUAGCAUCGCAAGCAUAACUUCCUCCGCAGUGCCGGUCGUACUUUCCAUUUCAUCAGAUCAUAGGGUAAAAUUCGGCGACUCUGUAUAUGAAAACCGACCAAAUAUCCACUUUGCUAAGCAACCCCGUUCUGACUUUUCGCGGGAUGACCGCGAUAUUUCUACCGUACAUUGCAUACGUUGGUCCCGUGGCAAAUACGAACGGCUGGUGUUUUUUCCGGGAAACACCAACACCAGCCGUGGCCGGUGCGUCUAAAAAUCUGGGGAAGUAUCCCCUCGUUUCGCCCGACCGUACACGCCGUAGCAACCCAUUCGCCCCGCUGUUGCCGCGACCGUCGUUAUUUUCCUCGGAAUGGAUCAAUGGAAGCAGCUUCGUGUUCAUUGGUCAUCGCUGCAACACGCCUUGACGAGAAGGCUUCGUUCAUCCACACACAAGAUAGGCUGCAGCGUGCCCGUCGUUAUCGACGGAAGCAAGCUGAGCGUACACUAUCAGUCGCAAAUGGCGGUUCAAUCAAGCCGCUGCAGGUGCCGGUGCGUACUGUCGCCUAGAAAACAGGCGUUGACCAGUGCAUACUCGCUGGGAGCACAAAAUAAGUUAAAAUACUAACCAUCAACUUCACUGAACAACCGCAUCGCAGAUGUGAAACAGCAAACACACCAUGCAACGGUCGCAGAACAGAUAAAACCAUCAACUCAAAUUUCCCACGACAUCUUAUCUUCCAGGUCAGCAAAAUCUAUCCUUGACAUGUCAUCAACAAAGAAAGCCCACGCCACGAAAACGCGGCGCCCAAAAAAAACCCGGCCAAAAAGCAAACAAUCUAGGUUUUCGACAUUAUCCAAAAGCAAAAUUUACAUUACGCUAGGAGCUAGCUAGGUUUCCUGAGCAUAUCUCGCCCUCUCCCUCCUAAUGAUGCUGUCUAGUGCUUCUUAGGAUUAACGACCAAGGCCUGGCAGCACGAAGAGAAAGCAUCUGACACGUCGAGGAUCGGGGGGAGAGUGAAAGGAGGGAGGACGCCGCCCUUGUCGUGCGCAAAGGUUGUCAAGGCAUUCCCAGCGAGGGUGUGCGCCAUCGCGGUCUGCUGCUUGUUCAACCCCUCCAUGAUGCACGAGAAUGCUGCGAAGGUGGCGCAAUUCUGAAGCAGCGCUUGUGGUGUACCUGGAUUCAAGCAAACAAGCGUGUAAGAAAAUCAUGCCACCAAAGCCUCAACAAUUUAACAAAAUGACAGUGGUUGAUAUUAAUAAACAUAGUCGGUUAAAGGUAGCAGCCUGGGGGUAGCAAGUGCAGAUAUGAUCUUGAUUAAACAAAAUCAUGCUUGAAAUAUCCUUUCAGUGCAAACUUCUUCUUUUGUUAGAACAACUGAAGAUUGCUGCCUAGAGCUCCUUAGGCCAUGUACAAUGCAAGGCGCUUAGGGGAGGUGCUUGUAGAGAAAUAAACCAGCGUUUAUUUAAGCACCGGUGCUUAUUUGUAGAGGGUAGACACUUAAUUAGGCGUCUCUCCUAUAGAAACAGGCACUGGUGCUUCAGAGAAACCCGGUUUAUUUUUCUAAGCACCUACCAUUGUACAAGGCCUUGGACACUUGGGGUGUGUUUAGUUGCUGGAACGGACCGGAAUGUCACGGGUCCGACCCGUCCCUGGGCCUCGUUCUUGUGUUCAGUUAACAGAUGGAACGAUCACCACCUCGUUCCCAUAAACCGAAUAUUCGUCCCAGAUCCGGAACCGUGUGAGACCUCCAAAACGAGCGGACGACGCGGAACCGGCUCUCUCCUCACACUCCCACUCCUCCUGGCCCGCUGCCUCCCCCUCGCCUCUCUCUCUCUCGCUCGAUCUGCGCCGCCCCGCCCCGCCCCGAUUCCUUCCCUCGCCGCUGGCGAACUGCUUUUCUUGAUCUGCAGCGCUGCUCCACCUCCGGUCCCUGAUCUGGCCAUCCCGGGCGCAUCCCUCGUCUCCCUGUGUAGCACUCCUCGAUAGCAACGACGACGCGUUCCUACAGGCAGCGGCUGGAUUUUUGGUGGCAUUCCUUGGCAGCAGCGUCUUGCGGGGAAUCGAUUAUGCUUGCAACCACGGAGCAACAACCAUGGAGUAGCAGCAGCUGAGCCUCGGCAGGAAGUGGCUAGCAGGCAGCGGAGCGAGAGCAGCAUCGGCUUGCACAGAGAUGAGAGGCAGUAUAGGAAUUGCUUGGUGCGUAUGUUCGAUUGCUUCAACAUAGAGCUUAAUUAGUAUAUAUAGUAGCAGCAUCUAAUUUCUCAUGAUUUUUGUUUGAUGCGUAUGUUGGAUUGCUGGGUAAUGAUUUUUUACCUAUAUAUGUGUCUUGUUAAAUACUCCCUCCAUUUUUAAAUAUAAGGUGUAUUAGUUUUUCAAAAAGUCAACUGUUGUCUAUGUUUGACCAGCAUUAUAGCAAAAUAUAUAAAUAUUUACAAUACCGAAUAUAUAUAAUAUAAAAAUAUAUUUCAGGGUGAAUCUAGUGAUAAUGAUUUCAUAUUCUAGGUAUUGAUAUUUUUGUCAAUAAACUCAAACUUUGACUUUUUUCAAAAAUAAUACACCUUAUAAUUAGGAGAGGGGGUAGAAAAUAGUGUGAAUUUAUGUUUGUAUAUGCUUGAGUGUAUUUAUAAAUUGUUGGCCUUGGAAAAAAAAUUCAAAUGUUUAUCAGUAUUUGAUUACUCUGUUGCUGAAAAUACAAAGAGUAAAAUUGUUCAUAGUGUUGGUGAAAAUCAUUCCAUUCCCAACUCCCAAACCAAACACACAACAGGACCAUUCCAUUCCAGCUAAAUCUCAUAGCCAAACAUAGGAAUGGAACCGACCUAUUCCCGUGGAAUGGAAGCAUGACAUUCCAUUCCGCUUCGUUCUUGAACCAAACACACCCUGAAUACUACACUUGUUGAAAUGGCAUGACUGCCAUGAGCCAGAAGCACAUGCGCCACUGCCAGUAAAGCAACAGAGAGAUGCAGUGUGAACAGAGUGGGUAUGUGUGAUGCAUAAGAUUGUGUUUAGCACAUCACCAACUUAAACUAUAAUUACCACCACUGAUAAACACAUGCGCAUUGCAGUUUAAUUGGAGUGCAAGAUGUGAAGUCCUUAACAGUAUCUCAAAGAAUUCAAGGGCUUGGUCAGUUAAAUGGACUCUUUGCAUUGUUGCCCAGUGGCUGCAGGACUCCAUAACAAGCAAGACAGGCAGUUAGUGUCUUCUACUGUUAAAAUUGUAGAUGAUGCUUCAUCUUAUCAUGCAAACAAUAACUCCUGAUUUUAGUGAAUUACGUACAAGUGAUAUUGGGCUUAUUGUAAAUUAAUUUACUUGAAAUUCUACAAUGAUAAUAAGUAAUUCAGUCUUGUAUUUCCAGGCCAAUUUCAGUGCAUGUUUGUACUCAGUUUCUCUAAGUAAGUAUGAUAACAAUAUACAUCAUGAACUGGACACACAGCUAAAAUUAAACUUUAUCACUCAAUGGAUAAAUUACACAGUUGGAUAACAAACUAGAAACCUAAUUAUAACAUGUUCGAAGUGUUGAUUACAAGGACCAUCCCAGAAUCCAUGCAUAGGAGCUUAGCAAUUCAUAUUUACAGAAAUAACAUUUUCUGAUAAUCUAAAGAACAAUCUUUUUUAUGUAUUCCAGCAACAAGAAUAACAACAAAGAGUACUUUGUCACCAGAAAGUGAAGACAAAGCCAAAAACUGCUUUCAACUACUACCAAAUUUUUUCAGAACAUUAUGCAAUACCACCGAAUAUCGCAUCACAACAUCUUCAUACUAAUACUAAGCAAUGGCAAUCACAAUCUAUAUCUAUAUCUAUACCUAAUAAUAAAGCGGCUAUUGCUUCCGUCGGAAAACCCACCGCGGCAUUUUUAUAAAAAAGCCCCUGUAAUUUUUGUUAUUCAACCUGCGCUCCAUCAUUUAUCUGCAACGUAAAAGGAAAAAACGAUUCGCUGCAAAAAUUAUACCCGUACGCAUCGCCUCCUCCCGUCUACCCUGGGCCACCCUGGCCUGUGCCCAGGCCGCCGCCACACCACUCGCCGCCGCGGCCGACCUCAACCGCCACUGCUGCCGAUCUCAACCCAUCCGCCUCCGCGGCCGUACCUCUCCCCGCUCAACUGCCCCUGUUGCUGCGCUCAAGCGCAUCGCGUCGACCCUGGUCCACCCUGGCAUGUGCCCAGGCCGCUGCCACACCACUCGCCGCCGCGGCCGACCUCAACCACCACUGUUGUCGAUCUCAACCCACCCGCCUCCGCGGCCGUACCUCUGCCCGCUUGCUGCACCCUGUUUCGGCGCUCGAGCACAACUUCUGGAUCAAAUCAACGCGACAGCUACAGUGACUGGGGAUGAUGCGUCUGCUCGAUGCAGAACGGCGGCGGCGCGCGGAUAAGGCGCGGCGGAGCGAAGUACUUGCAGGUGGAGGCGGGCCUCCAUGGCUCACACGGGGAACUCCGAGGUUAUGGCGCGGCAACGGCAACUCCUUAUGACCAGAUAGAGGCGCCUAACCCUUGCUCCCCUCAUCGUAUCCCCUCCUCCGGCAGGAACUCAUCAUCUGGUGAGAUCCCCUCCCCAUGCCUCCAACCGUGUGCGAAGCACCGGCAAGAAAUUUUGUUUUGUGGAGAUUUGUUUGCUGAUGAAUGGAUGUAUUGAAUGUAAGAUUGUAUUGUUGUAGAGACAGAGAAUGGAACACCACCUUCAGUUUGUCAUCUGAUCCCACAUUCUCUACCCCAUGAGUGAAAUAAGAUAACAGUCCAUUGAUCAAUUCACGUAGCCUCAUUGUUUUGCUUUGCUUGUCCCGCUCAAUUUCUCAUCAUGGUGGAAUUAACAAUGGACGGGUUGAUUUCUCAACAAAAUAGGAUAGGACUGACUACAUUAGUUAGUUAGCUUAUUAUUUUAAUAAAUCAAAAUGAUUAUAAAAAGAUUAAAAGUGUGUGGUAUUUUUUUCUUCCGUUGCAAUGCACGGGCCCUUUUGCUAGUAGUAAGUAAGCGGUGAAAAAUGUUGUUAGUUCAAUGUGAAUGUACCUGGAAAACUCAAAGCAAGACCUGUGCAACAACCAGCAAUGCCGGAAUUGAUAACUGCAAAAGGAACAUGUUAGUUCAUACUGUGUAUCCAACUCCCAAGGUGUUAAUAAAAAGGUGACCACUAAAAAGAUGCACAUACUAUCAUCUUUCCCACGCAGCUUCCUCAACAAGCACAAAACCAAACUCUGGACACCAGAUAGAACCGCAAAACUCUGGUCCAAGAAAUUUAUACCAUCAGCAAGCAGUUUAUGAAAAUGAUAGGGCAAUUUCCUAGUUAAGAAUAUGCACACAAAGGUGGACACAAACUUUGGCAGAAGACCCUGCAUUGCCGAGUGAGCCCUUGAAGCCCUUCUUAGUUAGCAAACCUUGUCCUGAAAAAAGAACCCCGAGGUGCAAUGUAAGGAUUUUAUGUGAGGGAAUUAAACGGGUGUCACAGGUGUUGUUAGUGACAGCAUGUAGAGCACUAGUGCCUCCGUUAUGCUAACAGAAUAAGUAUCUAAAUAUUUGAAGAGAAAAUAAGGAUAUAAAUGAAGAUUAAAUGAAUACAAACAAUGGGAGAUUAUAGUUAACUAAAAGGAAUUGUAUCAAAUGUGCACAAUCAUAUAAUCUUAGAUUCUAGCAAGAACUGGGUGCAAAACCUAAGGCAACGGAAUUUCCUAAUAAGAACUGAACACUGAUAACAGAAAAUUCUCAGACCGCCCGCGACAGAAUUAACCAAAGCAUCACGGCAGAGGAGAGUAAUCCGGAAAAGGAUAAGAGGGGGGGUGGGGGGUUGAUUACCAUAUCCAAAGAUAGAUCCGACGAAGGCGCCGCCGGCGAAGUCCCCGGCGGACCUGAGGACGCAUACGGCUGGACCGGCGGCAAGAGGCGGGAGGGAUAGGGAGGAGCCCCCCUCGGCGGGGUUGGUCCCCACGUCGCCGUCCGACUCGUUGUCGUUCCUCGCCGCCAUGUCCGUCCUCCCUGCAAGUUCCGUUAUCGUUUGCCCAGGCCCAGGGUUGGAGACUUGGAGUAUAGAGGACGGGACUCCAGCCUCUGGUAGGCGGGUCCCGCUGCCAGUUCCCCCGGGUUGGGUAGCCCGGCCGGCCGGCCGGCUUUACAAGCCCAAUCGAACAAACCAUAUUAAACAAAGCCCAAUCAAACAAACCAUAUUAAAUAAGCCCAAUCGUAGCGGACGACAGACAAAUCGUCCGUUGCAGAGGUGCCCUCUAAUCAGUUUUUCCUUUUUUCUCAAAAAAAAUAUAAAUAAGUUUUUCCUUUUGCCUAAAAAAUACUAUAAAUUAGUUUUACUGACUUGUUUCUAGGGGAAAUUUUGCGACUCCUUUUAAGUAUUUUAUUCUUAAACUUUGGAACUUGUUUACCACAUUCGCACGCAGAAUUUAUUUAUAGUACAUUUAAUCAUGUACGUUCAAGUUCGUCAAAAAAAAAAGAUCAUGUACGUUCAACAAAAGAAAUUCACCCAUGUGGCAAUCUGAACUCUGAAGACGCAUGAGGCGAGCACUGUGAACUGCCUCAGAACAAUGUGUACCGUCUCAUUAACGAUUCAUAUACCCGUCUACAGUUCCUGAUUACUGUAACUUGUUCCAUAUGCUGCCAUGGUAAAUUGUUCUGAACUUGCAACAUUUCACCUCAAAACAUCAGGCGCCACCUCAACUGCUCAGGAACCCAACACAGGGUUCUUCCUAUUAUUGCUAUAUACUCCCUCCGUUCCAAAAUAAGUGUCGCUGCUUUACUAUAAAAUUUGUACUAACUUAAUACUAAAUUUGCGUCACUUAUUUUGGGACAGAGGGAGUAUAUCUUUAUACGCAAUUGCCUGAAGCAAUUGUAGCCAGAUGAAGGCAGUACUCAUCAGCAUGAGUGUGCCGAUACCGCACACAAUUAGCCUGUAUCAGUUUGGUACUUUGGUGAAGACCAGCCACUGAUGCAUGUCCACUGCAGCACAACUUGGGACACAUAAUCAGAUGUCACCAGCUUCCUAUGGUCAGAGGAGAGCUCAACGGGAGUUCAGCUGCAGGCGCCUCCAAUGUCACCUGAGAGAUAGGGAUAAUGAGCUCUAGCAAGGAAAGAUGGAGCAGUAUGCUAAAAGAUGGUAUUUGCAGAAGUGGGAGUGUCAAAAAUUAGUACCUCCUUAAAAACUGCACUGUGGGAAGCAUCCUUGAAGCCCUGAGUUCAGACCACAGAACAUACAAUUAUGAUCCAGCAAUCAGAAACAAACGAGGAGAAGGGGGGCAAGAACGGCGGGUUCAUCUGCUCACCAAUUUUCUGAAGAGCUUUAACGAUGCAGUAUUUGAGUCACUAAUUUUUGCUCUGAAAGUGUGAAUUCCGUAUUUCUCUACUGCAAACGACAUCAUCAUUAAGGUCACUUCUUGACCUAGUCCCUUUCCACGGCUGCAACACGAAGCAAUGGAAGUAUGGAACCAUGAGUAACAUAACUGAACACCAUCAGUCUAUCACAAUCUCAUUUCAAAACAAUCUGCUAAACUCUAUAUUAUGAAUGAGUACUGCAUCAAGUAAUAACAGUAGAUGUAAAGCAACUACGAAUUACGUUGUGUUUGUUAACAAUUUAAUCACUUUAUAACACUGAGAUCAUGUCAAGGGCUUUCACAGGAGCAUAAGCGUUUGGGGCUUUGGGCAAUACAGAGGUUAAAGAUUUGCAACACUAAGUUUAUAUUAUCUCUCUGUUGCAGGUACACAAAACGGGCUGCGAGAAAACAUAAUUCUAGCGGAUUAUUAAAUAGUAGCAUAUUGGUGAAAUUUCCUACGAGUGCAGUUGGUGAAAAAGUAUCAGUGUAUCACACUACUGAUAAUUCAAAGGAUAAUAAGUUGAGUAGUUGCAAUUGUAACCAGUUUUUAAGCUAAAACAGAUACUCAUGACAUACACAAUUCAAUGUGAAGCCCAAAUUGGACUAUCAAAGCAUGUUGGCUGUCAGAAUGGACAGAGUAUGCAUGUAAUUUCCCAUGAAUAAAAAAUAAUGAAAUAUAGAACAUAUAUCUAAGUUGAUGAGAAGAGGUACUAAACCAACACUUAAAAGAUGGUACCUCUUUUGUUCAGCUAUCAUAAUCUCUAUCUCCGCAAGUUCCAAAUCAUCAGGGUCAUUCAUAUAGAUGUUGACAUCGCCAAUCAUAGCUGCAACAGAUUAGGAAGAGCAUUAACACUAGCAGGACCUGGCAAACUGCUAAAUAUGAAAUCAACGCAAAUUUAACUAAUCACAUUCAUACAUAGAUGCUUUCAGUAGGGCACCACUGGAUUGUUUGAGGAGACCUUACUUGUGCUAAACCAACCUAUUGCUAGGAGAUUCUUGUACAUUGGUCGGAAGUCUGAAGUUAUGAACAUAUACUAGUAAUGAAGGCUGAAGGACAGGCAAGUGAGCUACAGAACCUAGAGGAGGAGAACAGUCCUUGUCUUAACUGUUGUAUGCAUACAACAAUGAUCUAGACUUAGAUCACUACAUCAACAUCAGGAUCCUCUAAACACUAUAGUAGAGAUGUGAAUUCAAAUUUUAACUUGAAGACUUCAUUUGCACCCUACAAAUACUGGUAGUGAAACGUCUGUAAAUUCAUUUGAGUAGCUUUCUGUGUCAACUAGAGAUAUGAAGUUCAUAUAUAACUAACUGACAUCAAAUAGUACACAGUUUGAUGAUCAUGAAGUCAAAUGCGUAUUGUUUUCUACCUGAAAAAUGUGUAUCAUCUUUCAUCUAUAUGUUCUAGUAACUCUGGCAUAUAAUUGAAGGACUGAACCGGCAUUCCUCCUCCCCUUAUCCAUUUUCCACCCAGAAGAUCUGGGUGCUCUCCACCCCCGCUUGACAGCUGAGGCCUCCUCCUCCCAACACCGUUGCAUAAGUCUAACAUGCUACUGUUAGCCCAUUAGAUUGCUCCAAUAUUUAAUUCCCAAACCGUUCCUCCUUUGAGGAACCUCAUUGCGUAAUGGUCUACACAUUCCAUCUCAUCUGACCACAGAGAAGAAUCAAAGGUACAGAAAUGGCAUGGUUUUGUUUUGGUAUUCUAAAUAUUCGAGUCUCAGUCAAUCUACGCUUACACCAGAGCCACAAUAUCCUCCUCACAACAUGUAUGCAAAACUGCAACCAGAAUCGUACCAGAUUCAUGUAACCUCUGAUUCCCAAUUCCUAUCAUGGACUGAGCUAAUCAAGUUAAAACAUUACUGAGCAACGUGCAGAAGAGAGUAGCAAACCUUCGGUGUGUGGGUUCCCGACCACGAAGUCUCCCUCGAUCAACUCCUUAUCCAGCACUAUGAAAGUGUGUUCUGCACACACACACACACACACACACACACACACACAAACAAGCAUCUCACUGAAUCAGUCGCAGCGCGUCAGCUCACCACCAAAUCUGGGGCAAACUAGAGGAAGGAGAUCGGGGAAGCAGCGAGGGGGAAGGAGCUCAACUGAGAGGGUCGAGGGUCCAGGAGCGAUGGACCUCGAACUCCUGGGCGAGGGAGAGCGGCUCCGACGCGGUGGCCUCCAGCAGCGCCGGGUCCUGCAUCCACUCGUGGUACCGCGGGACGUGCUCACGCAGGUACGGCACCAGCACCGCGCGCUCCCCCACCGCGUACCAGCUUCCCUUCCGCCCCCUCCCGUCGUCAUCUCCGCCCUCGGCCGCAGCCGCCGCGGCCACCGCCGGCUCGGCGGGCGCCUCCAUUGCAGCCGCAGGCAGGGUUUCAGCUUCGGCCCACGGUCCACGGAACAGUGGGCCGCCGCGUCAACUUUCUUACACAUUAAUGACCGAUUUAUCUGCCUCUAAAAAAAUGACCGAUUUAUCAGCAAGUACGCCACCGUCAAAGGAAAACGUACUAGUACAGUAUUUCGUAAGCUCUCUACGAUGGUGCUACACUAGAGCAGCGAAACAAUUACAAGGCGGAAUUCUGAAGCAGUGGAAUCUUCACAGCUUCACGCAGACUGCUAAACGAAGGGAACGGUAAACCCCAUUGUUAGCUGCUCAUGGAGGAAGGGUGAUCGGGUGAAAGAAAUGAUGGAAAGAUAGAUUGGCCUCGCGAAAACUUGGACUCGGAGGGGUAUAAAUAUAGCCAUCACUGCUGGUCUAUCUCUAACCUUUUUAGCAUAUAACGUGAAAGAAGAAGGACGCAUACAUAUAGCUUUUCAUCAGCCAAAAAAGACUGUCAAUGUGCAUUGACAUGUCCAGAGCUACUUUACCGCUGCUACAAAAUACAUUGGGAUGCUGGAGGGAACUGAUAUUCGGAAGCCCCAUAGUCCCGCCUUUGGUAAUUACGAGGCAUCGAGUAAAAUGACGAUGAGGAAGUAGAAGGUGUCGUUUGACUUUGUUAAGGACGAUAUGUCUGAGCAGGUAGAGCACUUAGGCUGUUCUACAGAAACAUUCUCUUGUUUUUGUUUGUCAGAACUUUAUAAGAUAUUCAUUUGUAUUAAACAUACUCGGAUGGUGUCCUAUAGAAGAGUGGAGGACAUUUCGCAAAGCUUGUGCCGACAACCAAUGAUGUAGUUUUUGCUGGUUCUUUGUGUUCUCUUGAAAAAUAAAAUGUGCUUAGUUUAUUUAUUUUUCAUACUUCCUCCACAAAUAGGAAUUUAGAAGAUCCAUUUUGUUUCCUACAACUUACUUUAAAACAUGCACACAAUGGAAUUAAGAAUCCAUUGCUCUCUUCAGAUAAGAUAUCGCUCUAUGUAUGAAAGCAAUGACCGUUAUACCAAUUACAAACUUAAAUGGUGUAUGGAAAACAAAUAAUAAUAAAAUGUUGUCUUCUUUUCAUAAAGGGGUGAUCUCUUUAUGACUAACAGAUGCCUGAUUUUCUCUUCUUCAAAAGGUCUUAUUUUGUGGCAAUUCUGAUUCAAAUUAAAUUACCACAUAUUUUUACAUCGAAGUAUGCAUUAAAUUACCCCAUGUAUGUGCUAGUAAUGCUAGUUAGUAAAGCCAUUUUUGUGUUGGAUUGGAAUCAUAGUAAUCAGCGAAACCCCAUGUCACCUAGAAAAAUCACCAUCAAAACAUUCAAAUGCAAUAUUUUUCUGGAUGUGGAAAAUUCAUACAAACAUGAUGCUCUCUCUGUUUCGCUUGCACGCAUAAGUACUGAAUUUUCGGUGCAAUGCAUUACCCCCUUGUGUUUUGGAGAUUGCUGUCAGAAACAGUCAUGGACUGAUUUGCUUGCUAGUGCACACAGAGAGAAUUAGUCCAUGAAAAUCCGAGAAGAAUGAUAUAUUCUGUCUAGAAGUUCGAAGAACUUCAUCGAAGAUUAUCUAUGUUGUGGAGAAGAAGAAAGUAUAUCUCAAGAAAAGAUGACACUGAGAAGAAUAUGUGAAUAGAUUGAUCCCAUAAAAUGUUGCUGACGCAAAGCAAUUUUCAUUCGUGUGUCCCAAGUAGAAUGACUUUAGCUGAGAAAUGUGACGAUGAAGUGAAGAUGUAGCAUUUGUUUUGUUGUUCUUAUUUGUCUUAUUUAAGUCAUAGUACCACCUACUAUUAAGAGGGGUAUAGGUCAUCGAAGCUUAGGUACAUUGUGUUGCUUAGUCGAAACCUAUGAAGGACUGAGAGAAAUCUCUUUGUGCUCUGAAUGGUUACUUGACAGCAAGAGACAAAGUUCUUUUGAGAUAUCCUUAGAACCGAGGAUUUGGCUUUACUUGCUCCGCAAGGAAACACUACAUCGGGAAGGUCCUAAGAUGACACGUGUCUCGCAGACCAUUCGGCCAAACUGUAUGCGAUGAUAAAUCACAAACGCUAAUAAAAUAAAGUCGCGUGCAAGAAAAUGAAAUGUGUGACAUACCAUCCAUUAGGCGUGAUAAUGGUAUGCACACCAUGUGUGAUAGUGGGCACACACUUAGAGGCAAAAUUAUGUGUGAUAUAUGUAGUCGUAACGCGCACGGUUGCAAUGUUCUAAGUGACUGUGUUUGUUGGAAAACACUUUAUAGAAACAAAUUGUUUGCGAUAGUUAGGACCAUCUCACAUGUUGCGUAGUGUGAGUACUCAUGUAUUAUGAUUUAAAAGUUACUAGUACCGAGAAACUGGAGAUGGACUUGUUAGUUUUGUUGAUUCUGAUUUUGCUGGUGAUUUGGAUAAGAGAAGAUCACUCACAUGUUAUGUUUUCAUCAUUGGUGGUUGUGAUGUGAGUUGGAGAGCAACUUUGCAGUCUAUUGUGGCUUGUUCCACUACUAAUGCCGAAUAUAUGGCUAUUUCUGAGGCAUGCAAAGAAGCUAUCUGGUUGAAAGGUUUAUACACUGAGCUUUGCGGAGAUUCAUCUUGCCCUACCAUAUUUUCUGACAGUUAAAGUGCUAUAUAUCUUACAAAGAAUCCAAUGUAUCAUGAGAGAACGAAGCACAUUGAUGUCAGAUUUCACUAUGUUCGAGAUGUUGUUGCUAAAGGUGAUUUGAAGGUAUUAAAGAUAAGUAUUCAUAAGAAUCCAGCUGAUAUGAUGAAAAAGUCAGUUCCUACCAAUAAGUUUGAGCUUUGCUCAAGCUUAAUUGGUAUUUCGCACUAGUCCUUUGGACUUUGACGCACAAGGUGUUUAUGCUGAUUUGGAUGGAGUUAUUCACUUUCUUCGACUACUGGAAGGAAUCUGGCUCAAGGUGGAGAUUGUUAAUUUGUGAUCUAAAUUCUACUGUAUUGGACUAGACGUAGUACAAAUGGUGUGGGCUUUUGCGUUGGUACCGACAUGUACGAGUACAACUCGUUUACUUGUCCUCCAAGGACUCUCAUGUAUUGCCCCUCAUAUAUACUUCAUGUAGUCGCACCUAAAGACGACCUGUCGUCUCGUGCUUGUAAUACUCCAUCCUUAUAGUGAUUGCGCCUUCGUGCGUCCGUGGUUUUCUUCCGCAAGGGUUUGCACGUAAAAAUUUGUUUGAUCUGUGGUCCACGGAGCAGUGGGACAUGGCCUCAACUGAUUUACCCUGCCUAAGUCAUUCACUCGUCACUUGGUAUGCCACUUGGUAUGCCAGUUCAAACUGGAGAAGGAUUUUGCAAUUAUCAAAACACGCUACCAAUAUGCCGCUUUUGCGGAUAAGGAAAAAACAUCACUUGACGGCGAAAUUCUAAGGCAGUGCAAAUUUCAUGCAAACAUGGUGCUCUAUCUGUGUUGGUUGCCUGGAUAGCUAUAGCAUGACUACACACAUUGUUGGUUGCUCAUGCGUAUUGGCAUGGGAAGGUGAAAGAAUUGGAUAGAUUGGUCUAUAAAGUGAGCCAUCUUUUAGCCAGUUUAGCGUAGUUAGCAGCAGCAGGAAACUAUCACUGUGUUAAUAUAGGUUCAGAAGAGAUUGAUGGGAACAAAAUGUAUUGUGAUGUUGGAGGAAACUGAUAUCGUAGUGUGUACGUUCAGGACUGGUUUCAGAAUUUGUGCUGACUUGACGACUGUGGGAUGGAGAGUAAGAAGCCAAAGUGAGGAAUGCAAGAAAAUUAUCAGAAUAAUUGCUUACCUGUGAAUAUGCAUCUGAUUGCGUUUAUAUAAAAUAAUAUUUGUCUUAUGUAUUGUAACAUCUUGAUUUCAGCAAGAUAUUAGGAAAACUGUAUGGCUUCAUGUUUGAAACCAUCAAAACAUUCCCUGCUUCCUUCAAAUGAGUUUUUGUGUGCAAAAUAUAUAUGAUACUAUAUAUCAGUUACCACUGUUUAUUUUGAGAAAAAGAUUGAAGGGGGUCCCUAUAGGGUAAUAAUUAGAAGCCAAAAUCCGAGUCCACUAAACUUGAAUUUACAUGGUGAAAUUGCACAAUCACUGAUUAGGAUCAACAACAGCAACAAACAAUUCUAACAGUCCAUUAACAGCAAGACCCAACUACAGAUGAUAACAAUGAUCCAGGUGCCAUGAGCCCUCCCUGAACGCAUGCUAUUCACACGCUGGCACUCCACUAAUCCUCCUUACAGAUUUUAAGCAUAUGAUAAACUCCCUUGCUUUCGCCCAUGCUACUUUUCUCCGAUCAUGCGCUUUGCCAACAAGAAUCACACAACUCUCGUCGGUCGGAGCCGUGCCUUCAAAGCCAAUAAUGGCAAGCUUAGCCAGGACCAUCAUCAUCAUAAUCAUCAUGAUCCUAACCGCUAAAGCUCACGCGAAACAUUUCCCAGCCGAUCGAAUCCAUGGUAGUAUCACAUCACCACGCCGGUCGUGGGCGAGCGGCCACCAAAUCUUCCACUUAGCAUCAAUCAGUCUGCUCACUGCUGUGUGAGAUCACCUAACCUAGUAAAUGUAGCAUUAAUAGGCUGGUAAAUUGCAAUUGAUAUACUAUAGCCCAUAAGCAAAAUGUAAAAUUCUUAUAACUUACUAGUCUUUUGGCAAACUUAUGGAUGCGAAUUUGGAACUUUUAGGGUAUCCUCCGACCCUUCUUCUGUUGUAUCGUUUCAAUUUUAUCCGAGGGGAUCCUCCGACCCUUCUUAGUUCAACUAAAUAAACUAAAUUUCGCCUGCCUAGGCAAACUCUUACUGUGAUUUAGCAGUUCGUCAGCUUUGAUCCAUGUGCUCCUUUCACAUUCUUCUUCAGUUGAGCUGGCCCAUCCACAGUAUGCAAGCAUGUGUGUCUGAAACUUCCAUUGUGCAGCUCAAAUUUUGGUUAACUACUACAGUCGCAGCAUGCCUUUUGCACCUACCACCACCACCGAUCUAACCCAGGAGGCAAGUGCAAGAUGGGGCCAAAGUUGGGCACCACACAGAUCACCACAGAAUAUUUUCAGGCCUGUUUGUGGAGGCUCUCCCUCCCUUGCCUUCGAAGCCAAGAACCCAUCAUCGAAACGGAACGAAAUACACACAACCAACCAAACGGGAGCAGCACACGCGGUUCACAGCCAUCAUCACAUUUCACAAUCACCCUCCAAAACGCCCCACUAAAACCCCACUUACGAGCGCAGACAAAACCCAACCCAACGCACGCCACGCACACUCACACUCACACACGCCACCGCGCUCUGUUAGCUCGACACCGCUGCCCAGCUCCACGGGGGCACGAUCGAUCAACAACGACAAUGAGGAGAUUCGAUGCGCUGCUGAUGCUCGUUGUGGUCGUCGUCCUUCCGAGCGGCGGGGCGGCGGCGGCGGGGGCGCCGGGGCGGUGCACGACGUCGACGCCGGUGAAGGCGUACGCCAAGUGCAUCGCGCUGCCGACGCAGGGCGCGACGCUGGCGUGGACGUACGACGCGCGCAACGCCACGCUGGACGCGGCCUUCACGGGGUCCUUCAUCUCGCCGUCGGGCUGGGUGGCGUGGGGCGUCAACCAGGACGCGCCGGCCAUGGCCGGGGCGCGCGUGAUCGCCGCCUUCUCCGACCCGUCCACGGGCGCGCUGCUCGCGCUCCCGUUCGUGCUCUCCGCCGACGUCAAGCUCCAGGCCAAGCCCCUGGUGUCCCGCCCGCUCGACAUCCCGCUGCUGGCCUCCUCGGCGUCCCUCGUCGCGCCGGCCCGCACCGUCCGCGACGGCGCGACCGUGACCAUCGCCGCCACCAUCCGGCUCGCCCCGAACCGCACCAGGGUCCACUUCGUGUGGAACCGGGGCCUGUACGUGCAGGGCUACUCCCCGACCAUCCACCCCACGGACGCCUCCGACCUGGCGUCGCACGCCACCGUCGACAUCCUCACCACGGCGACGGAGUCGUCCCCCAUCGCGUCCCCCAGGCUGCAGUGGGCGCACGGCUCCCUGAACGCGCUCUCCUGGGGCCUCCUGCUGCCGGUGGGCGCGGCGCUGGCGCGGUACCUCCGGCCCUGCGCGUCGGCGGGGCCGGCGUGGUUCUACGGGCACGCGGCGGUGCAGGCGACGGGGUACGCGCUGGGGGCGGCCGGGUUCGCGCUGGGGAUCGCGAUGGGGGCGGCGUCGCCCGGGGUGACGUACAAGCUGCACCGCGGGCUGGGCAUCGCGGCGGCGACGGCGGGGAGCCUGCAGACGCUGGCGGUGUUCUUCCGGCCCAAGACGACGAACCGGUACCGCAAGUACUGGAAGUCGUACCACCACCUGGUGGGGUACGGGUGCGUGGUGAUCGGGGUGGUGAACGUGUUCCAGGGCUUCGAGGUCAUGGGGCUCGGCGCGUCCUACUGGAAGCUCGGCUACUGCAUGGCGCUGGCGACGCUCGUCGGCGGCUGCGUGGCGCUGGAGGUGAACGCAUGGGUGGUGUUCUGCCGGAGGCAGCACGAGGAGAAGCUCAUGCGGCGGGAGGUGGAGGACGUCGUCGUCAAGGACAGGGCCGCCGCCUUCUAGGUUCUAGCUAGCGCGCCGCGCCAUGAUCGGCGCCGUUGCUUCCCUCUGUUUUACACCGGCACGCAGGGCUUUUUUUUGAGAGAGCGAAGAUACAUUGAGAAUGCAGACACGGCCACGAAGUAAUUGAAUGGGUGCGGUCACGCGCCACGUUACCGGGGACAGGCAGUGCUUAUUGGUUUGUCGGAAGGUGGGCGUGUGAAUUCCUUCCCGGGCUGGUGUGUGCCGUUGUACUCCACUGUUUUUCUUCUCCUAGUUCUUGAUCUAUAGUUCUACUAUACGAUAGUACAUAGAGGAAUUCAUGUACAAGUUGUUCCACUUUUUCAGUUUCUCAGUAUAACUUUGCACCUAGCCGAUUCUUGGUAAAGAAACCACGUCAUGAAUUGUGAAAAAAGGUCUGCUUUUUUUACGAAAGAGGCACCACAUCUCUUUUUUUUUUUGGCAGAGCUCUGCGCCGGUGCGCCUGCCGAAACUUUUGGCCGGCUGCGCGCGGGUCAUACGAUCCAUCAACCCCCGCGCGUCUGCAUCCUUGGAUCUGCAUGCAACAUCUUUUUCCCCGAUGCAGCAAAAAUCUGACACGACGCAGCAAUUUUUUCAACGCUUGCAACAAAAAACAAAAAAUAUAGUAAAAAAAUAUCUACGUGAUCGUAGCAAAAAAACGAAGCUGAUGUUGCGUGGUAGCAAAAGUCAAACGCCGUUUGUAACAAAUAUCUACGUAAACGUGUAUGCAACUUUUUAGUGAACGGUUGCAGCAAAAAAUAAUGCAGGUUGUAGCAAAAAUUAACACGGUUGUAGCAAAAGUAAAAAACAUCGAUUGUAACGAAAAAUCCGACGAACUGGAGUUGCAACCAAACGUAUAUGCAUCUUUUUUACUGAACAUAUGUAGAAAAUAAAAACGUUUGUAGCAAAUAUGACGCUGGUUGCAAUAUUUUAGACAGAAAAAUGUUGCAUGCCCAGUCAGCGCUCAGCGCGCGAGCCGCGUGCGGCCGGCCGAACGGUUCGACCGGCGCACCGGCCAGAAACGAUUCCCUUUUUUUAAGGAUAACCUCCGGCCUCUGCAUGAGAGCAAUGUAUGUGGUCCCUUAAAUAAGAAUGCAAACACAAAGUCUGAAGUUCCGAAUAAUCUCUAACGAGUAAACAUAAACCAAAUAAUAAAAGUAAAGGAUGCCACAACCGGGAAAAAUAGGCCAAGUUGCCUAGCCAUCUAUCCUAUUACUGGACCGUCAUGGAGACCGGUUAUAGAUAUCCCGUGCUACUGUCUCCCAUCGGAUAGACCCAGUAACCAAAGGCUUCUUGAUUUCCGCAUGAGUGAGUAAGGACCACAUACGGAUGAAUGCCGACGCCCUGUGAAGUACCUGCAAAAAAUUUAUAUGUGUUUGUCUGUUUAAAGACCAAGUCAUUCCUUCAAUUCCAUAUCGCCCAAAGAAGUGUGCAAACUCCUAUGUGAAUAUGUCUAGCCAUAAUCAAGUCCACUCCAUUGAGCCACGCACCAAACAACGUGUCAAUGCUAUCAGGCGGUAUGAUAUUACAUGCUAUGAGGAUUGUCUGCCAUAAGAUUUUCGCUAAUGGGCAAUGGAGAAAAAGGUGUUUGAUUGUCUCCUCAUCAUCACAAAAGCUACAACGAGUACUCCCCUCCCAAUUGCGUCGUGUCAAAUUAUCCUUAGUGAGAAUCACCUUCUUGUGAACAAACCACAUGAAUACUUUGAUUCUUAAAGAAACCUUGAUCUUCCAAAUAUGAAUCGACUUGGGGACUACUGUUGUGUCAAUAAGGUUCACAUGCAUGGAUUUCAUAGAAAAGAUGCCCUUAUUUGUUAGCUUUCACUGAAGCUUGUCAGACUCAUCCGAUAGGUGAACAUCCAUUUGUCUUCUCACUAAGUGGAUCCACUCAUCCCAUCGAUGUCCUAUCAAAUCACGUCUGAAUUGAAUAUUUAGAGAAUUUGAUUGAAAUACUAUGGCAACGUACGCAUCCUUACGUUGCACAAUAUUGUAGAGAGACGGAUAUUGUUUGGCUAGAGGCGUCUCCCCCCCAACAAAGUAUCUUUCCAGAAUCUCGUAGACCGACCAUCUCCAAUGAUAAAUUUAGUUCUAUGGAAAAAUGAUGCUUUCACUUUCAUCAAACCUUUCUAGAAUGAUGAAUCAUUGGGUCUUGGUGUGAGCUGGGUCAAGCUUUUAGAAUGCAAGUACUUAUUACGCAAAAUUUGUAUCCACCUACCUUCAGUCUCUACAGAUAGUCUCAAUAGCCACUUACUAAGCAGGCAUUUGUCCUUAACCUCUAAAUUUUCAAUUCCAAGACCUCCCUCGUCCUUGGGUCUACAUAUAAUGUCCGAUCUAGUAAGUCUGUACUUCUUAUUUAUUUCAUCAUUUUGCCAAAAGAAACGAGAUCGAUAAAAGUCCAAUCUUUUGCGUACUCCUACAGGUACCUCAAAGAAGGAGAGAAGGAACAUAGGCAUACUUGUCAUGACCGAGUUAAUCAAAAUCAGCCUACCGCCAUAAGGCUAAAGCUUGACCUUCGAGCAGCUUAGCUUUUUCUCAAAAUGAUCCUCAAUACACUUCCACUCUUUGUUUGAAAGUUUACGAUGGUGAAUGGGUAUGCCUAAAUAACUGAACGUAAGCUCCCGAACUCAUAUCUGAAGAGUUGUUUAUAAUCAUCUUGUUCAUCUUUGGCUCUUCCAAAACAGAAAAAUUCGAUCUUGUGGAAAUUAAUUUUAACCCCGGCAACUGUUUGAAAAGGCAAAGGAUAAGUUUCAUGUUUCUUGCUUUUGCUAUAUCGUGCUCCAUAAACAAUAUAGUAUCAUCAGCAUAUUGUAGAAUAGACACCCACCAUAAACUAGAUGUGGUACCAGUCCACCUACCUGACCUUCCUCUUUAGCCCUUCCUAUUAGAAUUGCUAACAUGUCCGCAUUUACAUUAAAUAGGAUGGGUGACAUAGGGUCUCCCUGCCGGAGCCCUUUGUGCGUUUGGAAAAAAUGACCAAUGUCAUCAUUGAUUUUAAUUCCAACGCUCCCUUUUUGUACAAAUGAUUUGACAUUCCCUCUCCAUAUGUCAUCGAAUCCCUUCAUACGCGAAGCUUGUUGUAGGAAAGACCAUUUAACCUUGUCGUAUGCCUUCUCGAAAUCCACCCUGAAGAUAAACCCGUCUAGUUUACUCGAGUGGAUUUCAUGUAGGGUUUCGUGAAGGACAAGCACACCCUCAAGUAUGUUUCUCCCCGACAUGAAGGCUCUUUGACUAGGUUGCACGACAACAUGUGCAUUCUGUGUCAAUCUAUUAGUUCCAACCUUUGUGAACAUUUUGAAGCUCACAUUAAGAAGGCAAAUUUAUCUGAAGUUUUCAAUGUGUACUGCCCCUCCUUCUUUGACAACAACAUAACUGUCCCAAAGUUAAGGUGGAAAAGUUGCAGAUUGUCAUUAAACAAAUCCUGAAACAUCGCUAGUAAAUCACCUUUAAUAAUGUGCCAACAUUUAUUAUAAAACUUGACCGGGAACCCAUCCGGUCCUGGCGCCUUAUUAUUUUUCAUUUGUGAAAUUGCCUCAAACACCUCUUUCUUCAUAAAGGGUGCGGUUAAUAUCUCAAUCUCGUUUGUCCUGAGGAAUAUCACCCACCCACUGCUCAUUCAUGGACAACGUAUUGUCCUCAGGAGGUCCAAAUAGUUGCUUAUAAUACUCAGAUAUGUACACCUUUAGGUUUUCAUGCCCAACAACUGUACCAUCAUCUUGUUCAAGUUGAUAUAUUAUUUUCUUUGUGUUUUCCAUUGGCAAUAAGAUGGAAAAAUUAUGUGUUGUCAUCCCCUUGAAUGACGUGAUGCACUUUCACUCUAACUGCCCACUUCAGUUCUUCUUCUGUGAGGAUCUGUUUCAGAUUUUGCUCUGCCUCCGCUCUUAAUGCCCUCUCAUUAUCUUCCAAGAGGGCGGAUUCGGCUUUUAAAUCAAGCUCAUUUAUAAAUUGAGAUGACAACCAGUGAUACAAAGCUCCCCAAUAAAAAAUUGCAAUUGGGUACUUGGAUAAUCGACCCAACGCCCCCAUAGAAAGGGAGAUGAAGCAGGAUGAAGUACCACCAGAAAGGAGAUGAAGUGUCCCUCGCUGACGAUCAAGAAGGAGGAAAAUCUGAUGCCCUCCAUAAGAGACCAACGCAGCGGCGGCGACCCAACACACAAAUACAAGCUUUGUGACUCCACACCGACUUUGGAUCAUGCAUCGACACAACAACGAACCAGAGCAAAAUAUCCCUUUCAAGGUUUAAGUCGCCGCUACACCAGCCUUGAUCCAUUCCCAAGGGACAGCAGGAACACAUCUCCUUCACACAUUAACAGAUAUGUGUCAGGGUUGGUUGUUCUAGGAUUUUAAAUUUCCAUCAAAAUGACCCUUGUGCAUACGAGCCCCAGGAAUACUGUUAGGUAGUGCACAAUUCCUUCAUACAAAUAUCCAAGCAAUUACAUAAUUUUGGAGUACAAGACCAUCAUGGCCUAUGGAGUACAACAAAAUUGUGGGUGGUCGGGAUGCUGCCGACCUUUUUAGUGAGAAAACAUGGCAGAAUUAUCGCGUGUAGUGAUGAGGACAUCGAUACCAUAGUUACACCCACGACCCCUGUUACUACAUAUAUUGGGCCAAUUACUAGAGCUCGUGCACGCCAAUUAAAUGCUCAGGUGCAUCCAUUUCUUGGGAAUGAUUCUAAUGUUCAUGAGAAUAUUAUGCUGCCUAAACUAGAUACAUUUAUGUUUAUUACUAAUGAAGGGACUAGGAUGGACAAGAGGGGUGAACACUGGAGCAGGAUCAAGCAUGAAGAUGAAGGCGUGCACAAAGGAAACUAGAACCUCGUUUCUAGUGGAGUUUUCAGCAUUUUGAAGCCACAUGAUGACAUGCAAGGACAUGGUCGAAAUAUACAAGAUGAUCUUCCAUGAAUUUUCUCCAAAGUUUAUUAUAGGUUCCGCGUCACCUUAUUUUGGGGUUAGGUCCAUGUAAUUUCGAAAUACAAUUUAGUAGGAUCGUUUUAGAGUUUGUAUUAUAAGGGAAACAACUUAUGAGGUGUUUUCACUCCCAUCUUGUUAAGGUUGGACGAAAUCCCCUCCUUUCCCCCUAUAAAUACAACACUUAAGGCAUUGUUUAAACUUGGGCUUUGUUUAGAUUAAAGUUUGCUGCAGCUGCAACCCAUUCUGCAACUAGACCAAGAUGUCACAUAACCCCACUUUUAUCAAUAAAUCUUUCUUCUUAUAUUCGUAAUAUUCAAAUUGUAAUUUCAGUUUCUUACUUGUUCUUCAUUUGCAUGCAGGGAACAGAUCCUCGUGAUCAGGUUGAUCAUGCUCCGACAUGAUCAAUAACCUCUCAGAGUUGGUUUAGCAAUUGCUAAGGCGAAACCUCUUUGCACUGUCGUAGUCGGAUCAUCAAAAUCUAUUACACCGAAAAGGAUAGUUACCAUCUCAUCAAAAGAUGGUCCACCUUCACCUCUAUCAGGUAGUUGGCAUGCAACGAUCGUCAUUAAUUAGCUAAAUUCCCGAUGGGAUGGAAAUUCGAUCGUGUGUAUCCUUAACAGAGGGGGAAGGUGGGCCGCACAGGAGGACGAGGAGGGGCUAAAAUUUUCCUCCUCCGCAAACGGUUAGCAUGGAAAACCCUAUUCGGCGCUCCACGCGCCGGUUUAAGGGCAAUUUUCCUAACCGGUGCGUGCACCGUGUUAGCAGGCCUGGCCCAUUUACCUGUUUUUUCUUCCUCGUGUGAAAGGUAAAAAAGGAAGGCGACGGGGAGUUCGAACUCAGAAUCUGUUGGUUUACGUACUAGCGCACUCACCACUAUGGCAAAUACACCGAUGUGAAAAGUCAUAUUUUUCCCUUUUUUAUUUUCUCGAGUUCGCAAGAAGCCCCGAUUUUGGGAUGCUUGUAGAACUUUCUAAACCGGUUUUAUGUGGUUCGUUGGGUAAUUUUCCAUCUGGUUCUUAUUCGUUUUUUCUCUCUAUUUUAACGUUUCUUUUUCAAAAAUGAUGAAUUUUUUAAAAUUUUGAUGAACUAUUUAUAAAAAACUAUGAACUUUUUUACAAAUUUGGUGAACUUUUUUUAAGAUCGUUGAACUUUUUUUAAGAUCAAGGAACUUUUUCAGACAUGAUGAACUUUUUCGGAAUUGAUGAGAUUUUUUUCAAAUUCGAAUGGACUUUUUUAAAAUUCAUGAUUUUUUUCAUUUUUUGGAAAUCGAUGAACUUUUUUCAUUUUUUAAAUUGUACCUUUUUCCUUUUUAAGUGCAUAAUUGAAAGGAGGGAGCAGAAAAAACCAAACGGAUUUUAGCGAACGAAUAGUGACGAAUAGAGAACGAGCGAAGGAUUAGUGGGUGAGGCCUAAUAGGGAUCCCUAGUGUGCGGCAACUAAGUUAUUGGGCGCUGAAGGCCGGCAUUUCGUAUUUGACUCUAAAAACGUUAGUUAAUGUGCAUUUUUGUUAACUGAUGCCCGUGUCGUUCAAACUGGGCCAACCCAUCUAGGCGCUUAUGAUGUUUUUGUUUUUUUGAAAAUUCUAUGAACUUAUUUGAAUAUCGAUGAACUUUUUUUCAAUUUCAAAGAAUAAUUUUCACAAUAAAUGAACUUUUUUAAAUAAGGAUAAUUUUUUUUGAAAUUUUAUGAACAUCUUUUUGAAAAUGGAUGGACUUUUUUAAGAUUUAUGAACUUUUUUUUAGUUCAAUGAACUUUUGUAAAGAAUACAUGAACUUUUUUUGAACUUUUAUGCACUUUUUUUCAAAUUUAUUGAACUUUCUAAAAAAUUACUAAACUUUUUCUAAAUUGGAUGAAAAUUUUUCAUUUUAAAUGAACUUUUUUUCAAAUCCUGAACUUUUUCCAUAAUUGAUGAACCUUUUUUAAAGAUAUGAACUUUUAUCUUCAAAUGUGUAAACCUUUUUUAUUUUAUAUUUUUUCGUAAUAGAAAAUUAAAAAGGAAGAAACUGGACAACUUUUUAAUGGACCGACCCAUGCUUGCAGCGCUGCACGCGCCGGAUCGGUAACGGCUGCCUGUAGCGCUGCAUAGGAGCUUCCGUGGAGGCGUCGUAUAGGAGCUUGAUACGUCUCAAACGUAUCUAUAAUUUUUUAUGGUUUCAUGCUGUUAUCUUAUCAACUUUGGAUGUUUUAUGUACCUUUUAUAUCUUUUUGGGACUAACUUAUUAAUUCAGUGCCAAGUGUCAGUUCCUGUUUUUUUUUGUGUUUUUGACUCUUUUCAGAUCUGAUUUUGGAACGGAAUCCAAACGGAAUAAAAUCUCCGAGAUAAAUUUUUCAGAACAAAAGAAGAUCGGGGGACUUGAGGGCUGAUGACCCACAAGUAUAGGGGAUCAAUCGUAGUCCUUUUGAUAAGUAAGAGUGUCGAAUCCAACGAGGAGGAGAAGGCUGUGAUAAACGGUUUUCUGCAAGGUAAUAACUGCAAGCACUGAAAGUAGCGGUAACAAGUGAUGGUGUAGUGAGGUGAAACAUAACAAGCGAAAAGUAACAAGUAACAAGUAGUAGCAACGGUGAAGCAAGUGGCCCAAUCCCUUUUGUAGCAAGGGACAAGUCUGAAGAAAGUCUUAUAAGUGGAAAGCGCUCCCGAGGACACACAAGAAUUUCUGUCAUGCUAGUUUCAUCAUGUUCAUAUGAUUCGUGUUCGUUACUUUGAUAGUUUGAUAUGUGGGUGGACCGGCGCUUGGGUACUGCCCUUACUUGGACAAGCAUCCCACUUAUGAUUAACCCCUCUCGCAAGCAUCCGCAACUACGAAAGAAGAAUUAAGACAACGUCUAACCAUAGCAUUAAACUAGUGGAUCCAAAUCAACCCCUUACGAAGCAACGCAUAGACUCGGGCUUAAGCUUCUGUCACUCCAACAACCCAUCAUCUACUUACUACUCCCCAAUGCCUUCCUCUAGGCCCAAAUAUGGUGAAGUGUUAUGUAGUUGACGUUCACAUAACACCACUAGAGGAAAAACAACAUACAUCAUAUCAAAAUACCGAACGAAUACCAAACUCACAUGACUAUUAUUAGCAUGACUUAUCCCAUGUCCUCAGGAACAAAAGUGACUACUCAUAAAGCAUAAUCAUAAUCAUGAUCAGAGGUGUAAUGAAUAGCAUCAAGGAUCUGAACAUAAACUCUUCCACCAAGUAAUCCAACUAGCAUCAACUACAAAUAGUAAUCAACACCACUAGCAACCUUACAAGUACCAAUCGGAGUCAUGAGACGGAGAUUGGUUACAAGAGAUGAACUAGGGAUUGGAGAGGAGAUGGUGAUGAUGAAGAUGCCUCCCCUCCGACGAGAGGAGUGUUGAUGAUGACGAAGGCGACAAUUUCCCCCUCCGGAAGGGAAGUUUCCCCGGCAGGAUCGUCCUGCCAGAGCUCUAGAUUGCAUCUGCUCAAGUUCCGCCUCGUGGCGGCGGCGAAACCACGAAAAAGCUCCCGAAUGAUUUUUUCUGAAAUAAAUCCUUCAUAUAGCAAAAGAGGGGGGCCAGUGGGCCGCCAGGGUCCCCACAAGCCCUGUUGCCGCGACCAGGGGGGUAGGCUGUGGCAACUAGGCUUGUGGGCCCCUAGUUGCUCCCCUCUGACACUUCUUUCGCCUAGUAAUUUUUAUAAAAUCCAAAAAAAAUCCACGUUGAUUUUCAUGACAUUUGGAGUUGCGCGGAAUAGAGCACUCAGACUUGCUCCUUUUCCAGUCCAGAAUUCGAGCUGCCGGUAUUCUCCCUCUUCAAAUAAACCUUGCAAAAUAAGAGAGAAAAGGCAUAAGUAAGGUUCCACAAAGUAUAAUAACAGUCCAAAAAGCGAUAAAUAUCAACAUGAAAGCAUGAUGCAAAAUGGACGUAUUAACUCCCCCAAGCUUAGACCUCGCUUGUCCUCAAGCGAAAACCAAGACCCAAAACAUGUCCACGUGUUUAGGGAUGAAGGUGUUGAUAAAACAAAAUACGGACAUGAGGGCAUCAUGACCAUACAUAGAACAGGAACACAUCAUAGAGAUUCUUAUGGGAAAGUAACAAUUGCUUCACAAAGCAAAGUAUGAAACAAAAACCUUAUCGAGAAGUGGCCAACAACCGUCCAAAGUCAUUGAAGCAAUUGCAAUUUAUCACAUUAUCAGAAAGAGUCCAAUAAGAGCUUGUAAGGCAAAUCCACAUACUCAAUCAUCUCUUUUGUUUUCCAUCAUUGUUACUACUCACGUGGUACUCAUGGUAUUGAAGUUUCAGUUGGACACAGAGAAAGAUAGGGGCUUAUAGUUUGCCUCCCAACCAUUUACCUCAAGGGUAAAGUCAACAAUAAUAAAGCAUAAGUACUUAGCUCCAAGUUGAUAUAUGAAUAUAGAUCUUUCCCAAGCAUAUGACGUUCACCAAGAAAAAGGCUAAAUAAGGAAUUGGUGAAGAUCACCAUGACUCUUACAAGGGCAAAAAGUAAAUGUACAAGAUAGGCCCUUCGCAGAGGGAAGCAGAGGUUGUCAUGCGCUUUUGAUGUUUGGAUGCGUGUCCUCUUAGUGCGGAGGAACGUCACUUUAUAUUGCCUCCUAUGAUAAAGAACUUUAUUAUGCAGUCUGUCGCUUUUAUGUCUUCCUCAUCACAGGUUCGUACAAAGCUUAUUUUCCACACACUAAUAGAGCAUACAUAUUAGAGAGCAAUUUUUAUUGCUUGCACCGAUGACAACUUACUUGAGGGAUCUUAUUCCAUCCAUAGGUAGGUAUGGUGGACACUCAUGGCAAAACUGGGUUGAAGGUUUAUGGAUGCACAAGUAGUAUCUCUACUUGGUGCGGGAUUUUUGGCUAAUAUGAGGUGGAAGCAAUCGUCACAUGCUAAGGGAUCUCUAAUCAUAUAACAUUGUUUGGAACUAAGCAAACACAAUUCAUUAUGUUGUCUUCCUUGUCCAACAUCUACUUCUAAGCAUGUAAUAGUUUGGCUAGUGCUCACAAUUAUAGAAAGUGCCUAAGAUGAUAUAUUUAUAUGUGAACCUCUCUGUCCUUAUUACUUCUUAUUAAUUGCAACAAUGAUUGAGGUCUAUGUUGGUCUAUCUCAACAAGUUUCAAUCAUCAUACUUGUUAUAAGUGAAGCUAUCACUUUCCAUAAUAUCAUCUCAUGAUCUCUCAUGCUAUCGUUCUUUUCAUACUUUUGAUCACGGCACAAAACAAAGCCCUUGACUAAGAUACUCUUUAUUAUAUAGCUCGCAAGCUCGAAUACAUCGGGGGAGAGACAAAAGUAAAAGACUCAAUCUAAAACAGUAAAGACUUAUUCCACUAAGAGAAGAAAUAAAAACUGAAAAGGAAAGGACUAAAACAAAGGUAAAAGCAAAAGAUAUAAAGGUGAUACGAUACCAGGGCAACUCCCCCAAGCUUGGCAAAAGCCAAGGGGAUUGCCCAUACCAAUGCUUAGUUGUCUUCCUUUGGUGGUGAUGGUGGUGGUGUUGUUGAAGUAGUCUUGAGCUUGUCUAAUUUCCACUUGAGCAAAAAGUUCUGCUCCCUCAGAUCGUCAUUUUCCUCCGCAAGCUUCAACACUCUAUGACAAAGUUCCUGCUUACUCUCGUGCAAGAAACGAGAAGGGAUAAACAAGGUCUUAGGCUUCUUCCUUUGGUCAGGGAGGCUUGACUUCUUGAACUCCACGUGAGUGCAUCCAGGUUGGGGUAAAGGAGCCUCCUCUUCAUCGGAACUCGUUUGUUCCUUCCCCUUGGGCUCAUAGUCCUCUUCCUCGUCAGUAGUCCAGCCAUAAGGCUCCAAGUCCCCAUUAAUCCUGGAGUUAGCAUGAUCAUCGGCCAUAUAGAUCUCUUCUUCUGAAUCUUGAGAAGACAUCUUGACCUAAAUCUGCGGCAGACAACAUGCUCGAAACAUCUUGACCUAAAACUGCACGAUACGGAGAUCAAAACCAUCUGGACCAGAAGGAGUGCUCCGCAAGAAAACAGAGUCCGGGAGGCACACGAGCUGCCGACAAGCCCUGUUGCCGCGGCCAGGGGGGAGGCCGCGGCAACCAAGCUUGUGGCCGCCUCCUGCGCUCUCCAGACUGCUUUUUAUUUUUCUAAUUUUCCAUAAAUUCCAAAACGGAGAAAAAUUCCUAUUGGAAAAGUUUCGGAGUCCAAUUACUUACUGAGACAUAUACCUCUUGGUUUUUAGGGUCUCAAACAGGCUGAUAAACAUCCCUUAUGUACUCCUCUGGAGUUAUGAUAUUGAUGAUAUUGGUCUCAACAUUUAUGGGAGUACCAGAGAUAUAAUGCUUGAUUCUUUGCCCAUUUACCACUCUAGGAAAAUUGCCUUCCGUAUUACUGAUUUUGAUGGCACCGGAAUGAUAUACUUCCUCGACAAUGUAGGGACCUUCCCAUUAAGAGAGAAGCUUGCCUGCGAAGAAUCUCAAACGAGAAUUGUAUAGUAGGACAUAGUGACCUACAUUGAACUCUCGUUUUUGUAUUCUUUUAUCGUGCCAUCUCUUAACCUUUUCCUUGAACAACUUGGCAUUCUCGUAUGCCUGGGCCCUCCAUUCAUCUAAUGAGCUGAUAUCAAACAAUCGCUUCUCACCGGCAAGUUUGAAAUCAAAGUUGAGCUCUUUGAUUGCCCAAUAAGCUUUGUGUUCCAGCUCAAGAGGUAAAUGAGAAGCCUUACCGUAAACCAUUUUAUACGGUGACAUGCCCAUGGGAUUCUUAUAAGCAGUCCUAUAAGCCCAUAGUGCAUCGUCAAGUUUGCUAGACCAAUUCUUUUGAGAUCUAUUCACGGUCUUUUGUAAGAUCAAUUUGAUCUCCCUAUUACUCAACUCCACUUGACCACUAGACUGAGGAUGAUAAGGAGAUGCAACUCUAUGGUUGACAUCGUACUUAGCGAGCAUCUUGCGGAAAACACCAUGAAUGAAGUGUGAACCGCCAUCAGUCAUCAGAUAUCUAGGGACUCCAAAUCUUGGGAAAAUGUCUUCUUUAAGCAUCUUAAUAGAGGUGUGGUGAUCAACAUUUUUAGUGGGGAUAGCUUCUACCCACUUAGUGACGUAGUCCACAGCAAGUAAGAUGUGAGUGUAUCCAUUGGAGCUCGGGAAGGGUCCCAUAUAAUCAAAGCCCUAGACAUCAAAUGGUUCAAUGACCAGUGAAUAGUUCAUAGGCAUUUUCUGACGCUUACUGAUGUUCCCUAUUCUUUGGCAUUCGUCACAAGACAGUACAAACUUACGGGCAUCCUUGAAGAGUGUGGGCCAAUAGAAAUCUGAUUGCAAUACCUUAUGAGUUGUUCUGUCUCCAGCAUGGUGUCCUCUGUAAGCCUCGGAAUGACACUUCUUCAGGAUCUGUCCCUGUUCAUGUUCAGGCACACAAUGUCUAAUAACACCAUCUACUCCUUCCUUAUAGAGGUGAGGAUCAUCCCAAAAGUAGUGUCUCAAAUCAAAGAAGAAUUUCUUCUUUUGCUGGUAGGUGAAACUGGGUGGUAUGUAUUGGCUACGAUAUAGUUUGCGUAAUCAGCAUACCAUGGUGCACUAUGUGAAGUGCGGAUGACAUUCAAUUGCUCAUCAGGAAAGCUGUCAUCAAUAGGUCGUGGUGUUGGGGAACGUCGCAAGGGAAACAAAAAAUUUCCUACGCGCACGAAGACCUAUCAUGGUGAUGUCCAUCUACGAGAGGGGAUGAGUGAUCUACGUACCCUAGUAGAUCGUACAGCAGAAGCGUUUAGAGAACGCGGUUGAUGUAGUGGAACGUCCUCACGUCCCUCGAUCCGCCCCGCGAACAAUCCCGCGAUCAGUCCCACGAUCUAGUACCGAACGGACGGCACCUCCGCGUUCAGCACACGUACAGCUCGACGAUGAUCUCGGCCUUCUUGAUCCAGCAAGAGAGACGGAGAGGUAGAAGAGUUCUCCGGCAGCGUGACGGCGCUCCGGAGGUUGGUGAUGAUCUUGUCUCAGCAGGGCUCUGCCCGAGCUCCGCAGAAACACGAUCUAGAGGAAAAACUAUGGAGGUAUGUGGUCGGGCAGCCGUGAGAAAGUCGUCUCAAAUCAGCCCUAAUACCUCAGUAUAUAUAGGAGGGAGGGGGAGGGAAGAGGCAGCCUCAAACCCUCAAGGUUUGGCCGAAAUUGGAGGUGGAGGAGUCCUACUCCAAUCCUACUUGGAGUAGGAUUCCACCUUCCCACUUGAAAACUCUUUCCACCUUGUGUUUUUUCCUUCUCAAACCUUAUGGGCCUUAGUGGGAACUUAUUCCAGCCCACUAGGGGCUGGUUUAUCUCUUCCCAUAGCCCAUGAUACCCCUUGGGGCGUGACACCCCUCCCGAUGGUCCCCGGCACCCCUCCCGGCACUCCCGGUACACUACCGAUGAGCCCGAAACUUUUCCGGUGACCAAAACAGGACUUCCUAUAUAUCAAUCUUUACCUCCGGACCAUUCCGGAGCUCCUCGUGACGUCCUGCAUCUCAUCCGGGACUCCGAACAACAUUCGGUAACCAACCAUAUAACUCAAAUACGCAUAAAACAACGUCGAACCUUAAGUGUGCAGACCCUGCGGGUUCGAGAACUAUGUAGACAUGACCCGAGAGACUCCUCGGUCAAUAUCCAAUAGCGGGACCUAGAUGCCCAUAUUGGAUCCUACAUAUUCUACGAAGAUCUUAUCGUUUGAACCUCAGUGCCAAGGAUUCAUAUAAUCCCGUAUGUCAUUCCCUUUGUCCUUCGGUAUGUUACUUGCCCGAGAUUCGAUCGUCAGUAUCCGCAUACCUAUUUCAAUCUCGUUUACCGGCAAGUCUCUUUACUCGUUCCGUAAUACAAGAUCCCGCAACUUACAUUAAGUUACAUUGCUUGCAAGGCUUGUGUGUGAUGUUGUAUUACCGAGUGGGCCCCGAGAUACCUCUCCGUCACACGGAGUGACAAAUCCCAGUCUCGAUCUAUACUAACUCAACGAACACCUUCGGAGAUACCUGUAGAGCAUCUUUAUAGUCACCCAGUUACGUUGCAACGUUUGAUACACACAAAGCAUUCCUCCGGUGUCCGUGAGUUAUAUGAUCUCAUGGUCAUAGGAACAAAUACUUGACACGCAGAAAACAGUAGCAACAAAAUGACACGAUCAACAUGCUACGUCUAUUAGUUUGGGUCUAGUCCAUCACAUGAUUCUCCUAAUGAUGUGAUCCCGUUAUCAACUGACAACACUUGCCUAUGGCCAGGAAACCUUGACCAUCUUUGAUCAACGAGCUAGUCAACUAGAGGCUUAAUAGGGACAGUGUUUUGUCUAUGUAUCCACACAAGUAUUGUGUUUCCAAUCAAUACAAUUAUAGCAUGGAUAAUAAAAGAUUAUCAUGAACUAAGAAAUAUAAUAAUAACUAAUUUAUUAUUGCCUCUAGGGCAUAUUUCCAACACGUGGGUCAUCAAGGACAUUCUCUAGCCUAGACAAGUUAUCUGCUACAGGGUUAUCAACACCCUUUCGGUCAACAACAUGCAAAUCAAAUUCCUGUAGCAGAAGAACCCAUCUGAUUAGCCUAGGCUUAGCGUCCUUCUUCUCCAUGAGGUACUUAAUAGCAGCAUGAUCAGAGUGAAUAAUGACUUUGGAGUCAACUAUAUAAGAUCUGAACUUUUCACAUGCAAAUACGACUGCUAAAAACUCCUUCUCCGUAGUGGCAUAGUUUCUUUGGGCACUGUCUAGAGUUUUACUAGUGUAGUGAAUGACAUUCAACUUCUUGUCAACUAUUUGUCCUAGAACAGCACCAACAACAUAAUCACUAGCAUCGCACAUGAUUUCAAAGGGCAAGUUCCAUUCUGGUGGUUGAACAAUAGGUGCGGUUAUCAAGGCCUUCUUAAGUAUUUCGAAAGCUUCCUCACAAUCCUCAUCAAAAACAAAAGGAACAUCCUUCUGCAAGAGGUUGGUAAGAGGCCUAGAAAUCUUAGAAAAGUCUUUAAUGAACCUUCUAUAGAAACCAGCAUGACCUAGGAAACUCCGUAUACCUCUGAUAUCUGUGGGGCAAGGCAUUUUCUCAAUUGCAUCAACCUUAGCCUUAUCAACUUCAAUGCCUCUCUCAGAGAUUUUGUGUCCUAAGAUGAUGCCUUCAUUAACCAUGAAGUGGCACUUCUCCCAGUUCAAGACGAGGUUGGUAUCUUUGCAUCUCUGUAAGACUCGAUCAAGGUUGCUGAGGCAAUCGUCAAAGGAAGAACCGUAGACGGAGAAAUCAUCCAUGAAAACCUCAACAAUAUUUUCACAAAAGUCGGAGAAUAUAGCCAUCAUACAUCUUUGAAAGGUGGCUGGUGCAUUGCACAAGCCAAAAGGCAUGCGUCUACAAGCGAAUGUACCAAAGGGGCAUGUGAAGGUGGUUUUCUCUUGAUCAGAUUGUGCAACAGGUAUUUGCGAGAAACCUGAAUAACCGUCUAGAAAGGAGAAGUGUGUGUGUUUAGAUAGCCUUUCUAGCAUCAGGUCAAUAAACGGCAAAGGAUAAUGGUCUUUCCUAGUUGCCGUGUUCAGUUUCCGGAAGUCUAUCACCAUCCUAUAGCCAGUAAUAAUCCUGUGCGGGAUUAGUUCAUCCUUAUCAUUAGGAACGACAGUGAUACCUCCCUUCUUAGGUACGCAAUGUACUGGACUUACCCAAUCACUAUGAGCAACAGGAUAAAUGAUUCCUGCUUCAAGAAGCUUUAAUAUUUAUUUUCUCACGACCUCUUUCAUCCUAGGAUUUAAUCUCCUUUGAUGAUCAGCAACUGGCUUAGAAUCAGGAUCGGUUUUAAUCUUGUGCUGACAUAGAGUGGGACUAAUACCCUUAAGAUCAUCAAGAGUAUAUCCAAUAGCCUCACGGUGCUUCCUCAAAGUUUUAAUAACUUCUUCUCUUCGUGAUUCGAGAGGUGAGCACUAAUAAUAACAGGAUAUAUCUCCUUCUCAUCAAGAUAAGCAUACUUAAGAGUAUAUGGUAACUGUUUUAGCUCGAACACAGGAUCACCCUUUGGUGGGGGAGGAUCCUCAAGCAGUUCAACAGGCAGAUUAUUCUUGAGAAUAGGAUAUUGUUCUAAAACAAUUUUAUCUAUCUCAUCUCUUUCCUCCAUAUGCAUAUCAUUUUCAUGCUCAAGCAGAUAUUGCUCUAAAGGAUCCGUAGGAGGUACGGCAAUAGAGGCAAGAGCAAUGAUUUCAUCCCUACCAGACGACUCUUUUUCAUGGGGUUGUCUUCCAAACUUGGAGAAGUUAAAUUCAUGAGACACACCUUCGAAAGUAACAGUGACAGUCUGUUUAAUGCAAUCAAUGUGAGCAUUGACAGUGUUGAGAAAGGGUCUACCAAAUAUGAUGGGACAAAAGCUAUCUUGUGCAGUACCAAGGACGAGGAAAUCAGUAGGAUACUUUGUCUUACCACACAGGACUUCUAUGUCUCUCACAAUUCCUAGAGGGCAAAUAGUGUCUCUAUCAGCUAGCAUAAUAGUGACAUCAAUCGGUUCUAACUCAGCAGGUGCAAUCUCAUCUUUGAUUUUGUUGGGGAACGUCGCAAGGGAAACAAAAAUUUUCCUACGCGCACGAAGACCUAUCAUGGUGAUGUCCAUCUACGAGAGGGGAUGAGUGAUCUACGUACCCUUGUAGACCGUACAAAAGAAGCGUUAGAGAACGCGGUUGAUGUAGUGGAACGUCCUCACGUCCCUCGAUCCGCCCCGCGAACAAUCCCGCGAUCAGUCCCACGAUCUAGUACCGAACGGACGGCACCUCCACGUUCAGCACACGUACAGCUUGACGAUGAUCUCGGCCUUCUUGAUCCAGCAAGAGAGACGGAGAGGUAGAAGAGUUCUCCGGCAGCGUGACGGCGCUCCGGAGGUUGGUGAUGACCUUGUCUCAGCAGGGCUCCGCCCGAGCUCCGCAGAAACGCGAUCUAGAGGAAAAACCGUGGAGGUAUGUGGUCGGGCUGCCGUGGAAAAGUCGUCUCAAAUCAGCCCUAAAACCUCCGUAUAUAUAGGUGGGAGGGAGGGGGCCUUGCCUUGGGGUCCAAGGACCCUCAAGGGGGUCGGCCGAGCCAAGGGGGAGGACUCUCCCCCCCAAAACCGAGUUGGACUAGGUUUGGUGGGAGGGAGUCCCCCUCCCUUCCCACCUCCUCCUUUUUUUUCCUUUGAUUUCUUAUCCUUGGCGCAUAGGGCCCUUUUGGGCUGCCCCACCAGCCCACUAAGGGCUGGUGCUCCACCCUUAUGGCCUAUGGGCUUCCCCGGGGUGGGUUGCCCCCCCCCGGUGAACUCCCGGAACCCAUUCGUCAUUCCCGGUACAUUCCCGGUAACUCCGAAAACCUUCCGGUAAUCAAAUGAGGUCAUCCUAUAUAUCAAUCUUCGUUUCCGGACCAUUCCGGAAACCCUCGUGACGUCCGUGAUCUCAUCCGGGACUUCGAACAACAUUCGGCAACCAACCAUAUAACUCAAAUACGCAUAAAACAACGUCGAACCUUAAGUGUGCAGACCUUGCGGGUUCGAGAACUAUGUAGACAUGACCCGAGAGACUACUCGGUCAAUAUGCAAUAGCGGGACCUGGAUGCCCAUAUUGGAUCCUACAUAUUCUACGAAGAUCUUAUCGUUUGAACCUCAGUGCCAAGGAUUCGUAUAAUCCCGUAUGUCAUUCCCUUUGUCCUUCGGUAUGUUACUUGCCCGAGAUUCGAUCGUCAGUAUCCGCAUACCUAUUUCAAUCUCGUUUACCGGCAAGUCUCUUUACUCGUUCCGUAAUACAAGAUCCCGCAACUUACACUAAGUUACAUUGCUUGCAAGGCUUGUGUGUGAUGUUGUAUUACCGAGUGGGCCCCGAGAUACCUCUCCGUCACACGGAGUGACAAAUCCCAGUCUUGAUCCAUACUAACUCAACUAACACCUUCGGAGAUACCUGUAGAGCAUCUUUAUAGUCACCCAGUUACGUUGCGACGUUUGAUACACACAAAGCAUUCCUCCGGUGUCAGUGAGUUAUAUGAUCUCAUGGUCAUAGGAAUAAAUACUUGACACGCAGAAAACAGUAGCAACAAAAUGACACGAUCAACAUGCUACAUCUAUUAGUUUGGGUCUAAUCCAUCACGUGAUUCUCCCAAUGACGUGAUCCAGUUAUCAAGCAACAACACCUUGUUCAUAAUCAGAAGACACUGACUAUCAUUGACUAACUGGCUAGCCAACUAGAGGCAUGCUAGGGACGGUGUUUUGUCUAUGUAUCCACACAUGUAAAUGAGUCUUCAUUCAAUACAAUUAUAGCAUGGAUAAUAAACUAUUAUCUUGAUACAGGAAUUAUAAUAAUAACUACAUUUAUUAUUGCCUCUAGGGCAUAAUUCCAACAGUCUCCCACUUGCACUAGAGUCAAUAAUCCAGCCCUCACAUCACCAUGUGAAUUACAUUGUAAUAAAUCUAACACCCAUACAGUUCUGGUGUCGAUCAUGUUUUGGCCGUGGAAGAGGUUUAGUCAGCGGGUCUGCUACAGUCAGAUCCGUGUGCACUUUGCAUAUAUUCACGUCCUCUUCCUCGACGUAGUCGCGGAUGAGGUUGAAGCGUCGUUUGAUGUGUCUAGUCUUCUUGUGAAAACGCGGUUCCUUUGCUAAGGCAAUGGCACCCGUGUUGUCACAGAACAAGGUUAUUGGAUCCAGUGCACUUGGCACCACUCCAAGAUCCGUCAUGAACUGCUUCAUCCAGACACCCUCCUUAGUUGCCUCCGAGGCAGCCAUGUACUCCGCUUCACAUGUAGAAUCUGCUACGACGCUUUGCUUGGAACUGCACCAGCUUACUGCACCCCCAUUAAGAAUAAAUACGUAUCCGGUUUGCGACUUAGAGUCGUCCGGAUCUGUGUUAAAGCUUGCAUCGAUGUAACCUUUUACGGCGAGCUCUUCGUCACCUCCAUACACGAGAAACAUCUCCUUAGUCCUUUUCAGGUACUUCAGGAUAUUCUUGACCGUUGUCCAGUGAUCCACUCCUGGAUUACUCUGGAACCUACCUGCCAUACUUAUGGCCAGGCUAACAUCCGGUCUAGUGCACAGCAUCGCAUACAUGAUAGAACCUAUGGCUGAAGCAUAGGGGACGGAGCGCAUAUGCUCUCUAUCUUCAUCAGUUGCUGGGCACUGAGUCUUACUCAAUCUCGUACCUUGUAAAACUGGCAAGAACCCUUUCUUGGAUUGUUCCAUUUUGAACCUCUUCAAAACUUUAUCAAGGUAUGUGCUUUGUGAAAGUCCUAUCAGGCGUUUUGAUCUAUCCCUAUAGAUCUUAAUGCCUAGAUUGUAAGCAGCUUCUCCUAGGUCCUUCAUAGAGAAACUUUUAUUCAAGUAACCUUUUAUGCUCUCCAAAAGCUCUACGUUGUUUCCAAUCAGUAAUAUGUCAUCCACAUAUAAUAUUAGAAACGCCACAGAGCUCCCACUCACUUUCUUGUAAAUACAAGAUUCUCCAACCACUUGUAUAAACCCAAAUGCUUUGAUCACCUCAUCAAAGCGUUUGUUCCAACUCCGAGAUGCUUGCACCAGUCCAUAAAUGGAUCGCUGGAGCUUGCACACCUUGUCAGCAUUUUUAGGAUCGACAAAACCUUCGGGUUGCAUCAUAUACAACUCUUCCUUAAGGAAACCGUUAAGGAACACCGUUUUGACAUCCAUCUGCCAGAUUUCAUAAUCGAAAAAUGCAGCUAUUGCUAACAUGAUUCUGACGGACUUAAGCAUCGCUACGGGUGAGAAAGUCUCAUCGUAGUCAACUCCUGGAACUUGUGAAAAACCCUUUGCCACAAGUCGAGCUUUAUAAACGGUCACAUUACCGUCAGCGUCCGUCUUCUUCUUAAAGAUCCAUUUGUUCUAAAUAGCCUUGCGGCCCUCAGGUAGUAUCUCCAAAGUCCACACUUUGUUCUCAUAAAUGGAUCCUAUCUCGGAUUUCAUGGCUUCUAGCCAUUUGUUGGAAUCUGGGCCCACCAUUGCUUCUUCAUAAUUUGCAGGUUCAUUGUUGUCUAACAACAUGAUUGAUAAGACGGGAUUACCGUACCACUCUGGAGCAGCGCGUGAUCUCGUCGACCUGCGUGGUUCAACAGAAACUUGAACUGGAGUUUCAUGAUCAUCAUCAUUAACUUCCUCCUCAACCGGCGUCGCAACGACAGAGGUUUCCCCUUGCCCUGCGCCACUAUCCAGAGGGAUGAGAGGUUCGACAACCUCGUCAAGUUCUAUCUUCCUCCCACUCAAUUCUCUCGAGAGAAACUCCUUCUCGAGAAAAGCUCCGUUUUUAGCAACAAACACUUUGCCCUCGGAUUUGAGAUAGAAGGUGUACCCAACUGUCUCUUUUGGGUAACCUAUGAAGACGCACUUUUCCGCUUUGGGUUCCAGCUUUUCAGGCUGAAGCUUUUUGACAUAAGCAUCACAUCCCCAAACUUUAAGAAACGACAACUUUGGCCUUUUGCCGUACCACAGUUCGUAUGGUGUCGUCUCAACGGAUUUUGAUGGUGCCCUAUUUAAAGUGAAUGCAGCUGUUUCUAAUGCAUAACCCCAAAAUGAUAACGGCAAAUCAGUAAGAGACAUCAUAGAUCGCACCAUCUCUAACAAAGUACGAUUACGACGUUCGGACACACCAUUACGCUGUGGUGUUCCAGGCGGUGUUAACUGCGAAACAAUUCCACAUUGUCUUAAGUGAGCACCAAACUCGAAACUCAGAUAUUCACCCCCACGAUCAGACCGUAGGAACUUGAUCUUCUUGUUACGAUGAUUUUCCACUGCAUUCUGAAAUUGCUUGAACCUUUCAAAUGUUUCAGACUUGUGCUUCAUCAAGUAGACAUAACCAUAUCUACUUAAAUCGUCAGUGAAGGUGAGAAAAUAACGAUAUCCGCCGCGUGCCUCUACGCUCAUUGGACCACACACAUCGGUAUGUAUGAUUUCCAACAAGUCACUUGCACGCUCCAUUGUUCCGGAGAACGGAGUCUUAGUCAUCUUGCCCAUGAGGCAUGGUUCGCACGUGUCAAGUGAAUCAAAGUCAAGUGACUCCAAAAGUCCAUCAGCAUGGAGUUUCUUCAUGCGCUUUACACCAAUAUGACCUAAACGGCAGUGCCACAAAAAUAUGGCGCUAUCAUUGUUUACUCUAACUCUUUUGGUCUCAAUGUUAUGUAUAUGCGUAUCGCUAUCAAGAUUCAAUAUGAACAAUCCUCUCACAUUCGGUGCAUGACCAUAAAAGAUGUUACUCAUAGAAAUAGAACAACCAUUAUUCUCAGACUUAAAAGAGUAACCGUCUCGCAAUAAACAAGAUCCAGAUAUAAUGUUCAUGCUCAACGCAGGCACUAAAUAACAAUGAUUUAAGUUCAUCACUAAUCCCGAUGGUAGCUGAAGUGACACUGUGCCGACGGCGAUUGCAUCAACCUUGGAACCAUUUCCUACGCGCAUCGUCACUUCAUCUUUCGCCAGCCUUCGUCUAUUCCGCAGUUCUUGUUUCGAGUUGCAAAUGUGAGCAACAGAACCGGUAUCGAAUACCCUGGCACUACUACGAGAGCCGGUUAAGUACACAUCAAUAACAUGUAUAUCAAAUAUACCUGAUUUUUCUUUGCCCGCCUUCUUAUCUGCCAGAUACUUGGGGCAAUUGCGCUUCCAGUGACCCAUACCCUUGCAAUAGAAGCACUCUGUUUCAGGCUUAGGUCCAGCCUUGGGUUUCUUCGGCGGAUUGGCAACAGGCUUGCCGAUCUUCUUCGAAUUGCCCUUCUUGCCUUUGCCGUUUCUCUUGAAACUAGUGGUCUUGCUCACCAUCAACACUUGAUGCUCUUUACGGAGUUCAGACUCUGCGACUUUCAGCAUCGCAAACAACUCGCCGGGAGACUUGUUCAUCCCUUGCAUGUUGUAGUUCAACACAAAGCCUUUAUAGCUUGGUGGCAGUGAUUGAAGGAUUCUGUCAGUGAUAGCUUCUUGCGGGAGUUCAAUCCCCAGUUCAGCUAGACGGUUUCAGUACCCAGACAUUUUGAGCACAUGUUCACUGACAGACGAGUUUUCCUCCAUCUUGCAAGCAUAGAAUUUAUCGGAGGUCUCAUACCUCUCGAUCCGGGCGUUCUUCUGAAAGAUAAACUCCAACUCCUGGAACAUCUCAAAUGCUCCAUGGCGCUCAAAGCGACGUUGAAGUCCCGGUUCUAAGCCAUACAAGACUGCACAUUGAACUAUUGAGUAGUCCUCCUUACGUGCUAACCAAGCGUUCUUAACAUCCUGAUCAGCCGUAGCGGGUGGUUCAUCUCCUAGCGCAGCAUUAAGGACAUAAUCCUUCUUCCCAGCUUGUAAGAUUAGCUUAAGAUUACGAGCCCAGUCUACAAAGUUGCUUCCAUCAUCUUUCAACUUAGCUUUCUCUAGGAACGUAUUAAAAUUCAGGAUGACAGUCGCGUGAGCCAUGAUCUACAACACAAAUAUAUUCAAAGUGGACUUAGACUAUGUUCAAGAUAAUUAGAGUUCAACUUAAUCAAAUUAUAUGCUAAACUCCCACUCAAAAAGUACAUCUCUCUAGUCAUUUGAGUGGUUCAUGAUCCACUUACACUAUCCCAAGUCCGAUCAUCACGUGAGUUGAGUAUAGUUUCAGUGGUAAGCAUCCCUAUGCUAAUCAUAUCAACUAUAUGAUUCAUGAUCGACCUUUCGGUCUCAUCUGUUCCGAGGCCAUGUCUGCACAUGCUAGGCUCGUCAAGCUUAAUCCGAGUGUUCCGCGUGCGCAACUGUUUUGCACCCGUUGUAUGUGAACGUUGAGUCUAUCACACCCGAUCAUCACGUGGUGUCUCGAAACGACGAACUGUAGCAACGGUGCACAGUCGGGGAGAACACAAUUUCGUCUUGAAAUUUUAGUGAGAGAUCACCUCAUAAUGCUACCGUCGUUCUAAGCAAAAUAAGGUGCAUAAAAGGAUUACCAUCACAUGCAAUUCAUAAGUGACAUGAUAUGACCAUCAUCACGUGCUUCUUGAUCUCCAUCACCAAAGCACCGGCACGAUCUUCUUGUCACCGGCGCCACACCAUGAUCAUCCAUCAACGUGUUGCCAUCGGGGUUGUCGUGCUACUUAUGCUAUUACUACUAAAGCUACAUCCUAGCAAAAUAGUAAACGCAUCUGCAAGCACAAACGUUACUAUAAAGACAACCCUAUGGCUCCUGCCGGUUGCCGUACCAUCGACGUGCAAGUCGAUAUUUCUAUUACAACAUGAUCAUCUCAUACAUCCAAUAUAUCACAUCACAUCGUUGGCCAUAUCACAUCACAAUCAUACCCUGCAAAAACAAGUUAGACGUCCUCUAAUUUUGUUGUUGCAUGUUUUACGUGGUGACCAAGGGUAUCUAGUAGGAUCGCAUCUUACUUACGCAAACACCACAACGGAGAUAUAUGAGUUGCUAUUUAACCUCAUCCAAGGACCUCCUCGGUCAAAUCCGAUUCAACUAAAGUUGAAGAAACCGUCACUUGCCAGUCAUCUUUGAGCAAAGGGGGUUGCUCGUAAUGAUGAAACCAGUCUCUCAUAAGCGUACGAGUAAUGUCGGUCCAAGCUGCUUCAAUCCAACAAUACCGCAGAAUCAAGAAAAGACUAAGGAGGGCAGCAAAACGCACAUCACCGCCCACAAAACCUUUUGUGUUCUACUCGAGAAGACAUCUACGCAUGAACCUAGCUCAUGAUGCCACUGUUGGGGAACGUCGCAAGGGAAACAAAAAUUUUCCUACGCGCACGAAGACCUAUCAUGGUGAUGUCCAUCUACGAGAGGGGAUGAGUGAUCUACGUACCCUUGUAGAUCAUACAGCAGAAGCGUUUAGAGAACGCGGUUGAUGUAGUGGAACGUCCUCACGUCCCUCGAUCCGCCCCGCGAACAAUCCCGCGAUCAGUCCCACGAUCUAGUACCGAACGGACGGCACCUCCGCGUUCAGCACACGUACAGCUCGACGAUGAUCUCGGCCUUCUUGAUCCAGCAAGAGAGAUGGAGAGGUAGAAGAGUUCUCCGGCAGCGUGACGGCGCUCCGGAGGUUGGUGAUGAUCUUGUCUCAGCAGGGCUCCGCCCGAGCUCCGCAGAAACACGAUCUAGAGGAAAAACUAUGGAGGUAUGUGGUCGGGCAGCCGUGAGAAAGUCGUCUCAAAUCAGCCCUAAUACCUCAGUAUAUAUAGGAGGGAGGGGGAGGGAAGAGGCAGCCUCAAACCCUCAAGGUUUGGCCGAAAUUGGAGGUGGAGGAGUCCUACUCCAAUCCUACUUGGAGUAGGAUUCCACCUUCCCACUUGGAAACUCUUUCCACCUUGUGUUUUUUCCUUCUCAAACCUUAUGGGCCUUAGUGGGAACUUAUUCCAGCCCACUAGGGGCUGGUUUAUCUCUUCCCAUAACCCAUGAUACCCCUUGGGGCGUGACACCCCUCCCGAUGGUCCCCGGCACCCCUCCCGGCACUCCCGGUACACUACCGAUGAGCCCGAAACUUUUCCGGUGACCAAAACAGGACUUCCUAUAUAUCAAUCUUUACCUCCGGACCAUUCCGGAGCUCCUCGUGACGUCCUGGAUCUCAUCCGGGACUCCGAACAACAUUCGGUAACCAACCAUAUAACUCAAAUACGCAUAAAACAACGUCGAACCUUAAGUGUGCAGACCCUGCGGGUUCGAGAACUAUGUAGACAUGACCCGAGAGACUCCUCGGUCAAUAUCCAAUAGCGGGACCUGGAUGCCCAUAUUGGAUCCUACAUAUUCUACGAAGAUCUUUAUCGUUUGAACCUCAGUGCCAAGGAUUCGUAUAAUCCCGUAUGUCAUUCCCUUUGUCCUUCGGUAUGUUACUUACCCGAGAUUCGAUCGUCAGUAUCCGCAUACCUAUUUCAAUCUCGUUUACCGGCAAGUCUCUUUACUCGUUCCGUAAUACAAGAUCCCGUAACUUACACUAAGUUACAUUGCUUGCAAGGCUUGUGUGUGAUGUUGUAUUACCGAGUGGGCCCCGAGAUACCUCUCCGUCACACGGAGUGACAAAUCCCAGUCUUGAUCCAUACUAACUCAACUAACACCUUCUGAGAUACCUGUAGAGCAUCUUUAUAGUCACCCAGUUACGUUGCGACGUUUGAUACACACAAAGCAUUCCUCCGGUGUCAGUGAGUUAUAUGAUCUCAUGGUCAUAGGAAUAAAUACUUGACACGCAGAAAACAGUAGCAACAAAAUGACACGAUCAACAUGCUACGUCUAUUAGUUUGGGUCUAAUCCAUCACGUGAUUCUCCCAAUGACGUGAUCCAGUUAUCAAGCAACAACACCUUGUUCAUAAUCAGAAGACACUGACUAUCAUUGACUAACUGGCUAGCCAACUAGAGGCAUGCUAGGGACGGUGUUUGGUCUAUGUAUCCACACAUGUAAAUGAGUCUUCAUUCAAUACAAUUAUAGCAUGGAUAAUAAACUAUUAUCUUGAUACAUGAAUUAUAAUAAUAACUACAUUUAUUAUUGCCUCUAGGGCAUAAUUCCAACAGAUUUCAUCAUAUAGGGAACGGUGUAUUGCACUAACACUAGCACCCAUAUCACAUAAACCGUGGUAACAGUGAUCUGCUAUCUUGACAGAAACAACGGGCAGGCCAACUACAUGUCCGUAGUUGUCUUUCGCGUGAGGUUUAGCAAUUCUAGUGGAGUCCUCACAGAAUUUGAUAACAUGCCCGUCUAUGUCUUCGGCUAAGAGAUCUUUGAUAAUAGCAACACUAGGUUAAAGUCUAAUUUCCUCACGGGGUGCAAGUGGUCUAAUGUAACCCCUACGUAUCACAGUUGGAGCUUUAGAAUAAUCCUUUAUCCUAGCAGGGUAAGGUGGUUUCUCAGCGUAGGCACAAGGAACAACAAGAUCACUAAAAGCAAUGACUUUCUCCUCAACUAGAUUGGUUUUGGCUAUGUUGCUUUCUACAGGAGGAUGAUAUUUAAACCACUUCUCUUUGGGAAGAUUAACAUGAGCACCAAAAGAUUCACAUAGAGAAGCUAUUAUCUCAGAGUCAAGUCCAUACUUAGCGCUAAAAUCUCUAGAAGUGUUUGUCUCAACAAAAGAUUUAACGCAAUCAAACUGGAAAUUCAUACUUGGCUCCUUACCUUCUUCCAGCUCCCAAUCUUCAGAGUUACGUUUGAUUAUUUCCAAUAAAUUCCACUUGUGGUCAAUAUCCUUCUUCAUAAAAGAACCAGUACAAGAAGUGUCAAGCAUGGUACGAUCUUCAUGAGAAAGCCGAGCAUAAAAGUUUUGAGUGAUAAUUUCUCUCGAGAGCUCAUGAUUGGGGUAUGAAUAUAGCAUUGAUUUAAGCCUCCCCCAAGCUUGAGCUAUGCUUUCCCUGUCACGAGGCCAAAAGUUAUAAAUAUAAUUCCGAUCACGAUGUACUAAAUGCAUAGGAUAGAACUUUUGAUGAAAUUCCAAUUUCAACCGAUUGUAGUCCCAUGAUCCAGUAUCAUCACAUAGCCUAUACCAUGUCAACGCCUUAUCCUUCAAAGAUAAAGGAAAGACUUUCUUAUUUACCUCAUCCUCGGGCAAACCUGCAAGCUUAAAUAAACCACAAACUUCAUCUACAUAGAUUAGAUGCAAGUCUGGAUGUGAAGAUCCAUCUCCUGUAAAAGGAUUAGCCAGCAGUUUCUCAAGCAUACCCGAAGGGAUUUCAUAAGAGAUAUUUUCAGUAGGUACCUCAGGUUGAGGAACAACUCCUCGUGCUUCCGUUCGUGGUGAAGAUACCCCGAACAAACUCCUCAAAGGAACAGUUUCCAUAGUGACAAGUGACAAUGAAUUUCAGCACAAUAUAUAAAUGUUUCCUUACCAAAUUCCACUUACCAAAGGCGCUUCCUCCCCGGCAACGGCGCAUGAAAAGAGUCUUGAUGACCCACAAGUAUAGGGGAUCAAUCGUAGUCCUUUCGAUAAGUAAGAGCGUUGAACUCAACGAGGAGGAGAAGGCUCUGAUAAAAGGUUUUCAGCAAGGUAAUAACUGCAAGCACUGAAAGUAGCGGUAACAGGUGAUGGUGUAGUGAAGUGAAACGUAGCAAGCGAAAAGUAACAAGUAACAAGUAGUAGCAACGGUGCAGCAAGUGGCCCAAUCCCUUUUGUAGCAAGGGACAAGCCUGAACAAAGUCUUAUAAGAGGAAAAGCGCUCCCGAGGACACACGGGAAUUUCUGUCAUGCUAGUUUCAUCAUGUUCAUAUGAUUCACGUUCGUUACUUUGAUAGUUUGAUAUGUGGGUGGACCGGCGCUUGGGUACUGCCCUUACUUGGACAAGCAUCCCACUUAUGAUUAACCCCUCUCGCAAGCAUCCGCAAAUACAAAAGAAGAAUUAAGACAACGUCUAACCAUAGCAUUAAACUAGUGGAUCCAAAUCAGCCCCUUACGAAGCAACGCAUAGACUGGGGUUUAAGCUUCUGUUACUCCAGCAACCCAUCAUCUACUUACUACUCCCCAAUGCCUUCCUCUAGGCCCAAAUAUGGUGAAGUGUUAUGUAGUCGACGUUCACAUAACACCACUAGAGGAAAAUCAACAUACAACAUAUCAAAAUACCGAGCAAAUACCAAACUCACAUGACUAUUAUUAGCAUGACUUAUCCCAUGUCCCCAGGAACAAAAGUAACUACUCACAAAGCAUAAUCAUAAUCAUGAUCAGAGGUGUAAUGAAUAACUUCAAGGAUCUGAACAUAAACUCUUCCACCAAGUAAUCCAACUAGCAUCAACUACAAAUAGUAAUCAACACUACUAGCAACCUUACAAGUACCAAUCGGAGUCGCGAGAUGGAGAUUGGUUACAAGAGAUGAACUAGGGAUUGGAGAGGAACUGGUGCCGAUGAAGAUGUUGAUGAAGAUGCAUCCCCUCCGACGAGAGGAGUGUUGGUGAUGACGAAGGCGACGAUUUCCCCCUCCGGGAGGGAAGUUUCCCCGGCAGGAUCGUCCUGCCGGAGCUCUAGAUUGGAUCUGCUCAAGUUCCGCCUCGUGGCGGCGGCGAAACCACGAAAACGCUCCCGAAUGAAUUUUUUUUUCUGGAACGAAACCCUUCAUAUAGCAAAAGAGGCGGGCCAGUGGGCCGCCAGGGUGCCCACAAGCCCUGUUGCCACGGCCAGGGGAUAGGCUGCGGCAACCAGGCUUGUGCCCCCCUGGUUGCUCCCCUCUGACACUUCUUUCGCCCAGUAUUUUUUAUAAAAUCCAAAAAAAAUCCACGUUGAUUUUCAGGACAUUUGGAGUUGCGCGGAAUAGAGCACUCAGACUUGCUCCUUUUCCAGUCCAGAAUUCCAGCUGUCGGUAUUCUCCCUCUUCAAAUAAACCUUGCAAAAUAAGAGAUAAAGGCAUAAUUAAGGUUCCACAAAGUAUAAUAACAGUCCAAAAAGCGAUAAAUAUCAACAUGAAAGCAUGAUGCAAAAUGGACGUAUCAAGGGCCAAGGCAGGAGAGCUACAGGGGGCCCACAAGCCAUGUAGCCGCCACCAGGGGGGCCGGUGGCUACCAGGCUUGUGGCCUCCCUGGCGCUCCCCUGCCCUAUCUCUUUCACCUAUAUAUUCCCUAAAAUCCAGAAAAAAAUGAGGUCAUCCACGAAAACACUUUUUCGCCGCCGCAAGCUUUCGUUUCCGCGAUAUCUCAUUUGGAGACCCUUCCCGGUGCCGUGCCGGAGGGGACUUUGGAGUUGGAGGGCUUCUACAUCAACAUCAACGCCUCUCCAAUGACUCGUGAGUAGUCCACUUCAGACCUACGGGUCCGUAGUUAGUAGCUAGAUGGCUUCUUCUCUCUCUUGGAUCUUCAAUACAAAGUUCUCCAUGAUCUUCUUGGAGAUCUAUCCGAUGUAAUCCUCUUUGGCGGUGUGUUUGUCGAGAUACGAUGAAUUGUGGAUUUGUGAUCAGAUUAUCUAUGAUAUAUAUUUGAGUCUUUGCUCAUUUCUUAUAUGCAUGAUUUGAUAUCCUUUUAAGUCUCUCCGAGUCUUGUGUUUUGUUUGGCCAACUAGAUCUAUGAUUCUUGUAAUGGGAGAAGUGCUUGGUUUUGGGUUCAUACCGUGUGGUGACCUUUCCCAGUGACAGAAGGGGCAGCAAGGCACACAUCGUGUUGUUGCCAUCAAGGGUAAUAAGAUGGGCUUUUAUCGUAGAUAUGAGAUUGUCCAUCUACAUCAUGUCAUCUUGCUUAAGGCGUUACUCUGUUCUUAUGAACUUAAUACACUAGAUGCAUGCUGGAUAGCGGUCGACGUGUGGAGUAAUAGUAGUAGAUGCACAAAGUAUCGGUCUACUUGUUUUGGACGUGAUGCCUAUAGAUAUAAUCAUUACCAUAGAUGAUGUCACGACUUUGCGCGGUUCUAUCAAUUGCUUGACAGUAAUUCGUUCACCCACCGUCUACUUGCUUUCAUGAGAGAAGUCACUAGUGAACACUACGGCCCCCGGGUCUAUUCACAACUAUCGUUUCCACUUUCGCUUUUACUUUGCUUUGUUUAUUUUUUGCUUUCAGUUCUCACUUUGCAAACAAUCUAUAAGGGAUUGACAACCCCUUCAUAGCGUUGGGUGCAAGCUCUUUGUGUUUGUGGAGGUACUUGUGACUCGACACGAUUCUCCCACUGGAUCGAUACCUUGGUUCUCAAACUGAGGGAAAUACUUACCGCCGCUGUGCUACAUCACCCUUUCCUCUUCAAGGGAACAUCAACGCAAGGCUCCAAGGCCGCGGGGAAAUACUUUGCAUAUUUGCCAAGGAAGUCCCUAUAGGCGUAGCCCGUGACAGAAGGAUUCCUGGCGCCGUUGCCAGGGAAGGUUUGUUGUCGCAGUAGCAGAAGGAUUUCUGGCGCCGUUGCCGGGGAGGAGGAUCGCUUGCGGAGGAGAGAUCAAGUCAAGAUCUAUCCAAGUAGGUGUCACAAACUCAUCUCUUGCAUUUACCUUUUUGCCAGUUGCCUCUCGUUUUCCUCUCCCCCACUUCACAUUUGUCGUUUUCAUUUGCCUUUUUCGUUUGCCUUUUCCGUUCGCCUUUUUGUUCGCCCUUUUUUCUCGCUUUCUUUCUGUUCGCUUGUGUGCCAUGUGCCUUCAGUAUGCUUGCAUCUUCGCUUGCUGAAAAUCUAGUGAUAUGGAUCCUCAUCAACUUGCUAAUCUCUUUAAGAGAUCCAAUUAUGUUGAUCCAAUUGCUAGUAAGUUGAGUGCACUUGACUUUCUUUAUAGAGUUUUGCUUGAGAUGCGUGAAUCUUAAAAUUGUGAGGAAGAAAUUUAUGAAGUGAUUCAUGAGGGCUCCUUGGAUGAAAAGCAUGAUUGCAAUGGUUUCACUAUAAAUUCUAUUAGUGACAAUCAUGCUAAAAAUAUGCAAAACCCUAACCUCAUGAUGAAUAUGAUAUUUGCAAUAAUAUUGAAAGUGGGUUUGGAGAAUUCAUGACUUUAGUUGAUGAUAAUCCCACUAUUUUUGAAGAGCAUCAACUUUGCAUGCAUGUGGAUCAUGAAAACAAUAUCCUAUGUGAUAUUUACAUUGUUGAAUUCGAAUAUGAUCCCACAUGUAAUUAUUAUGAGAGAGGAAAAUAUGGUGGUAGAAACUUUCAUAUCACUAAAUUACCUCUCGUUAUGUUGAGAUUGCUAUUGUCUCUUUCUUCUUCCUUGCAUAUGGUAACUAUUGGUUGUCUUGACGAUCUGUUUUCCUAUAAAAUGCCUAUGCAUAGGAAGUAUGUUAGACUUACAUGUGAUUUUUACAUGCUUCAUGAUGCUCUCGUUGUGCUUCAAUUCUUGUCUUUUGUGUGAGCAUCAUUGAACUAUCAAUGCCUAGCUAAGGGCGUUAAACAAUAGCGCUUGUUGGGAGGCAACCCAACGAAUCUAUCCUUUUUCUUUCUGUUUUGUGUUUUCCACACUUUCAUAAUUCUGUUAUGAUUGUGUUUUUUGUGUUUCCUUUUGCGUUUGUGCCAAUUAAAACCGUUAUGAUUAGUCUUGGGGAUGAUCGUUUGGUCAUGCUGGAAAAGACAGAAACUUUCUGCUCACGAAAAGAAUUUUCAUUUUUUUCCGUAAGAGCUUUUGAGUUGAUUCUUUUUGCUUCUGAUUGCUACACAAAUUCUUCAGACUGUCGUAAUUUUUCAGAAUUUUUGAAGUACAGAAGUAUACGAAGUAUACAGAUUGCUACAGACUGGUUUGCUGUUAACAGAUUAUGUUUCUAUUGAGUUGGUUGCUUAUUUUGAUGAAACUAUGGAUAGUAUCGGGGGGUAUUUGUUGGAAAUAUGCCCUAGAGGCAAUAAUAAAUUAGUUAUUAUUAUAUUUCUUAGUUCAUGAUAAUCGUUUAUUAUCCAUGCUAUAAUUGUAUUGAUUGGAAACACAGUGCAUGUGUGGAUACAUAGACAAAACACUGUCCCUAGUAAGCCUCUAGUUGACUAGCUCGUUGAUCAAAGAUGGUCAAGGUUUCCUGACCAUAGGCAAGUGUUGUCACUUGAUAACGGGAUCACAUCAUUAGGAGAAUCAUGUGAUGGACUAGACCCAAACUAAUAGACGUUGCUACUGUUUUCUGCGUGUCAAGUAUUUGUUCCUAUGACCAUGAGAGCAUAUAACUCACUGACACCGGAGGAAUGCUUUGUGUGUAUCAAACAUCGCAACAUAACUGGGUGACUAUAAAGAUGCUCCACAGGUAUCUCCGAAGGUGUUCGUUGAGUUAGUAUGGAUCGAGACUGGGAUUUGUCACUCCGUGUGACGGAGAGGUAUCUCACGGCCCACUCGGUAAUACAACAUCACACACAAGCCUUGCAAGCAAUGUGACUUAGUGUAAGUUGCGGGAUCUUGUAUUACGGAACGAGUAAAGAGACUUGCCGGUAAACGAGAUUGAAAUAGGUAUGCGGAUACUGACGAUCGAAUCGUACGGGAAAGUAACAUACCGAAGGACAAAGGGAAUGACAUACGGGAUUAUAUAAUCCUUGGCACUGAGGUUCAAACGAUAAGAUCUUCGUAGAAUAUGUGGGAUCCAAUAUGGGCAUCCAGGUCCCGCUAUUGGAUAUUGACCGAGGAGUCACUUGGGUCAUGUCUACAUAGUUCUCGAACCCGCAGGGUCUGCACACUUAAGGUUCGACGUUGUUUUAUGCGUAUUUGAGUUAUAUGGUUGGUUACCGAAUGUUGUUCGGAGUCCCGGAUGAGAUCACGGACGUCACGAGGGUUUCCGGAAUAGUCCGGAAACGAAGAUUGAUAUAUAGGAUGACCUCAUUUGAUUACCGGAAGGUUUUUGGAGUUACCGGGAAUGUACCGGGAAUGACGAAUGGGUUCCGGGUGUUCACCGGGGGGGGCAACCCUCCCCGGGGAAGCCCAUAGGCCUUGGGGGUGGCGCACCAGCCCUUGGUGGGCUGGUAGAACAGCCCAAGAAGGCCCUAUGCGCCAAGGAUAGGAAAUCAAAAAGAAAAGAAAAAAAAGAGGUGGGAAGGAGAGAAGGACUCCACUUUCCAAUCCUAGUUGGACUAGGAUUGGAGGAGGACUCCUCCUCCCUUGGUGGUGCAGCCCUUGGGGCUCCUUGAGCCUCAAGGCAAGCCUCCCCUCCCUCCUCCUAUAUAUAUGGAGCAAUUAGGGCUGAUUUGAGACAACUUUUGCCACAGCAGCCCGACCACAUAUGUGACAGCCCGAUGCCGACGUUCCAGAAGAUUCCCCUCUCUUUCCGUUUUCGUCGUGUGUCUAUUCUCUUUUGUCGCAUCAUCAUCAUCGCAUCAUGCGCAUCAUAUGCAUUGCAUCAGCAUCCCGUUGCCGCCCGUUUUCAAAACCUGCAUUCGCUAGUAGUCGCCGGUUCUCGUCGUUGUCCGUUCUGAGCCCGACCGCACUCGCACGCGCCCGCGGCACCGUCGAAACCCUGUUUUAAAAGUGUGCAUAAAACCUUCUCUGAUUGGGUUGAGAUUUGACGUGCGGUCGUUUUUUUAAUAUAGGUAGGCCGCCUGUCAAGUUUCGUCGCAAUCGGAGUCCGUCUGGUACCCGAACGGUCGUCCGUAGCGGCACCGUCUUCGGUCUAUCGCGGUCGUUUUCCCUCUCACCUCCGCCUAGCCACUCUUCACAGCCACCUAGACAUUCACGCGUCUGUGGCCGUUCGAUCGCGAUCACGUGGUCGAAAACGGAGUCGGAUUCGGAUAACCCUAGCCCCCUUUCCUAUUUAAUCUCCUCCUCCUCUCAUUUUGGACAGCCAAUCCCCCUUGCCUCGUUUUCCGUGCAAACCUAACCCUAGUCUAUCCACCUUUUCCACCUUUCAGAUCUGAUCUAGCCUCUCCAUCGAUCUAGACCGUUGGAUCGGAGAUCCAACGGAUGAAAAUACUCUUGAGCCUUCCAUGGAGCUCCUCCCGUGUCUCUCCUCGUGCCCGAGCUCCUUCCUCCCGAGCAUGGCCGCAGCUCCUCCCCGCUGCCGGAGCACCACCGGCCAGGCAGCAGCAGCCGUCGGAGCUUCUUCGCCGGGCCACCACCUUCUCCUCCCCUUUCCUCUCUCCUUCCUCUCCCUCUCCUUCCCUGCCUCGUCCUCACCUUCUUCUUCUUCUUUGCAGGUUCAAUGGCCGUCGUUGAGCUCGCCUGUGCGCCUCUCCAUGUCCUAUCUCUGGCCAGAUCCGGGAUGGAGCUGCCAGAUCCGCUCGUUCCCAUGCUCCUGUGGCCGCCCUCGCCCCAACCAGCCUCGUCACCCGGUUGCCGGCGCGUUCGUGCAUCUCCAUGGCCGACGGGAUCGGUUCCCCUGUAAGCUUCGUUCUGAAUCUGUUGCCUAGAGGUAAUAUAUGUUAGACGCUGACUUUAAUCAUGUGUUCAACGCUAGCUGAGUUGGCUAGGGCAGCCGAUCCCAUCUCCUAGCACCAGCAGGUCGAGGGUUCAAGUCCCCGUGAAUGCAUGUUUUUUAUAUGCAUUUUUUUCCUCUUGAGGAUGACCUCCUUCCUUUAUUUUAGUGUCUGUCCAGCCACUAUUAUUUCACAAACACUCGGUAGCCCAAUUGAUCAACUUUUGUUAGCAACCAUUGGAGUCCUGGGAUCAAAUCCCAGUGUCCUCCUUUUUUUUUGCUUUCGGGAAGAUUCUUUUUAGCUUUUGUAAAAUCCAUAUAAAUUCAACCGUGCGUCGGAUUGCGACAAGUUAGAUAUGUAACUCGUGUACAAUUUCGCGUAGAUUACGAAUUUGUAACUUGCAUAAAUGUUUGAAAUAGUUUGACCCGCCGAAUCCCUACAAACGCGUGCUGACCUAUUAUGUUUUGUCCCGUAUUAAUUUUCUCGUGCGUGUCUGGACUGUCCGUAUACCGGAGAUUAAAUGUCCAUGUUUUAGGGACCAUUUUUCCAUGAAUGUUAGAGCGGUCAUUGGUAUUUUUGCGUGUAGGGUUUGCCGGUAGUUUAUUUUCCAGUAUAUAGGUGAUUAUCUCGCAUUAAUGUGUGGCAUUAUUUUGUGUUGCAACCCCACAUAUUUUAUAUGUUUUCGGGGUAGAAAAAUACCAUGGAUUUUUAUGUGCAAUUAGUUUUGCCAUUAGAGCAAGUUAGUUCGUGAGAUAUUUUGCCAUGUUGCCCUUUUGUUUAAUUCGUAGGAUUUAUUCCGUGCGUUGUUUGACGGAGUUGUCAACUAGAGAGUUGAUCUUGGAUGUUUUGUUUAGCCUCUGGUAUUUUUAGUUGUAAUAGAAAUGCAUGUUUAGGUGUGUUUUUCUUGCUCGUAAGUUGCUAGAAAUAGUGCUGUUUUAGGGGUGCUGAAAUAUUUCUAAGUCUGGAAUCUGUUAUAUUUUGUUGCUGUCUUGUCUUGCUUGCAUCUUGUGAUCUGUAGCUCUUUUGAGGUUGGUCCAAUGGAGUUAGUUGUACCCCUUGUGUUUCUCUAGCAUGCUGUGAAUUUUCAUGCCAUUUGGAGACCUCUGGCUUAGGAUUUUGCUGCUGUCAAUAUGCCUUCAGGCUGAAAACUGCACUUUCAUGAUGUGUUAUUUUCACUAAGUCUGAAAUAGUGUGUGAGAUGCCAUUUUGUGUCUUCUUUUCCUAGUGCUCCUUGCUGCCAUGCUAGUUGUUGUUAGCUGUUCGUAGUAAUGCUUCUUUCCCUCUUCCAUGCCAUGCCUUACUUGAGCAUAUCGGAGUUGUGUAGCCGUAGUUGUGGGGCGUAGAAAAUGGUAUGUGGCUGAUUUUGGCAGAUUGUAGUGUUUUCUUGUUAUGCUCGUAGUUUUCGAACCGUAGCUCCGUUUUUUCUUGCUUAGAAUCUCGUGUAGUUUCAUUUUCUCUUGCUGUUUGUAUGUGUUGAAGUGCUCGUAGCCGCCGUUGCACACAUUUUUGCAUUCAUGCUAUCAUAUCUUGCGGUGCUUGUAUCUUUUGAUCCGUAGCUCCGUUGGAGAUGUUCUUUAUGUGUAGAUUGCUUGCCUUGAUGCGUAGAAUCAUGUGAACCUAUUUGUUUUGCGGUUUAACAACUAAUCAAAUGCAUUAGUUCAGAUCUGGACAGAAUUGUAAAUUAACAUGUGAGGUCGUCUCGGAGAUGCUAUAUGUCAUUUCGGACCUCACUUAAAAUGCCUAGAUAGGUAGUUUAACUUCCGCUUCACCUCUUACAUGUUUGACAACAUUAAUAUUACCGUGUAGAUAACCGGGAGUGAACUAAAUAAUUAACGUGGAAUUUCGUCAAUAUGCAACUCGUUGCAUAUUGAACUUCACUUAAUGUGUAGUUUUGAUUGUGUGAAUUUGUCAUGCCGUGACUUGCAUGUAUUUAGCUGUUCAUGCAUCAUAUGUGUUGUGCUUCGUGUGGUGAAUAUCGUGUGUUGAUGCUUGUUUCCGGUUUCCCCGUCUCGAUAGAGUUCCGCAAGCGAGUCGGAUGUGAGGACCCGUUCGACUACAUCGGUUCGUCUGCUUCACGGAGGCAUUCUUCUUCCAAGCGGGAUCUCAGGCAAGAUGAUCAUUUCCCCAGAUACCAUUACUAUCAUUGUCAUGCUAGUUAUUUCGAUGCUAUCGCUUAUGUCUCGUUGCCUACCACUGUUAAUUAUCAGCCUCUCAACAAUGCCAUGAAACCUUCAACCUCUUCAACCUAGCAAACCACUGAUUGGCUAGGUUACUGCUUGCUUAACCAUGUUGAUAGCGUUACUAGUUGCAGGUGCAGAUGCUUCCAUGCGAAAGCAUGGGUUCCUUGUUAUAUCACCAUAUUUAACUGCUAUUUAAUUUAAUGCACCUAUAUACUUGGUAAAAGGUGGAAGGCUCGGCCUUUCUAGCCUGGUGUUUUGUUCCACCUUUGCCCCUUUUAGUUACCGGCUACCGGUGUUAUGUUCCAUAAAUGAGCGCUCCUAACACGAUCGGGGUUGUUAUGGGGACCCCCUUGAUAAUUCGUUUUAGAUUAAAGCUGGUCUGGCAAGGCCCAACAUUGGUACUACAUUUGCCUAAUCACCUAAUAAAUUGCAUAGGGACCCGCCGGCACCCGCGGACUAUUUUAAUCAACCCCCGGGCCAGUGCUCCUCAUGAGUGUUGGUCCAAAACAGAGCAGCUUAUUAACGCUACCCGGGGCAACUCGGCGUUUGGCGUGGUAACCAUAGCUCAUCCGUCGUGUCCUGAGAACGAGGUACGCGACUCCUAUCGGGAUCAUCGACACGUCGGGCGGCCUUGCUGGAUUAGUUUUACCUUUGACGAAAUAUCUUGUGCAUCGGGAUUCCGGUGAUGCUUUGGGUAAUCUCAGAGUUGAGGUUUUCCACCAGGGAAUCCGUCGAGAUCGCGAGCUUCGUGAUUGAGGAUUUCUAUGCGGCUUGUGGUAAUUUGUGAUGGACUAGUUGGAGCACCCCUGCAGGGUUAAAUCUUUCGGAAAGCCAUGCCCGCGGUUAUGUGGAACAUGGAAGCUUGCAUGCNNNNNNNNNNNNNNNNNNNNNNNNNNNNNNNNNNNNNNNNNNNNNNNNNNNNNNNNNNNNNNNNNNNNNNNNNNNNNNNNNNNNNNNNNNNNNNNNNNNNCCCCCAAACCCAAAACCUUACGUACCAACGUUCGGUUUUGGGGGGGGAGAGUCCCUCCCCCUUGGCUCGGCCGACCCCCUUGAGGGUCCUUGGACCCCAAGGCAAGGCCCCUCCCUCCCACCUAUAUAUACGGAGGUUUUAGGGCUGAUUUGAGACGACUUUUCCACGGCAGCCCGACCACAUACCUCCACGGUUUUUCCUCUAGAUCGCGUUUCUGCGGAGCUCGGGCGGAGCCCUGCUGAGACAAGGUCAUCACCAACCUCCGGAGCGCCGUCACGCUGCCGGAGAACUCUUCUACCUCUCCGCCUCUCUUGCUGGAUCAAGAAGGCCGAGAUCAUCGUCAAGCUGUACGUGUGCUGAACGUGGAGGUGCCGUCCGUUCGGUACUAGAUCGUGGGACUGAUCGCGGAAUUGUUCGCGGGGCGGAUCGAGGGACGUGAGGACGUUCCACUACAUCAACCGCGUUCUCUAACGCUUCUUCUGUACGGUCUACAAGGGUACGUAGAUCACUCAUCCCCUCUCGUAGAUGGACAUCACCAUGAUAGGUCUUCGUGCGCGUAGGAAAAUUUUUGUUUCCCUUGCGACGUUCCCCAACAGUGGCAUCAUGAGCUAGGUUCAUGCGUAGAUGUCUUCUCGAGUAGAACACAAAAGGUUUUGUGGGCGGUGAUGUGCGUUUUGCUGCCCUCCUUAGUCUUUUCUUGAUUCCGCGGUAUUGUUGGAUCGAAGCAGCUUGGACCGACAUUACUCGUACGCUUACGAGAGACUGGUUUCAUCGUUACGAGUAACCCCCUUUGCUCAAAGAUGACUGGCAAGUGACGGUUUCUCCAACUUUAGUUGAAUCGGAUUUGACCGAGGAGGUCCUUGGAUGAGGUUAAAUAGCAACUCAUAUAUCUCCGUUGUGGUGUUUGCGUAAGUAAGAUGCGAUCCUACUAGAUACCCUUGGUCACCACGUAAAACAUGCAACAACAAAAUUAGAGGACGUCUAACUUGUUUUUGCAGGGUAUGAUUGUGAUGUGAUAUGGCCAAUGAUGUGAUGUGAUAUAUUGGAUGUAUGAGAUGAUCAUGUUGUAAUAGAAAUAUCGACUUGCACGUCGAUGGUACGGCAACCGGCAGGAGCCAUAGGGUUGUCUUUAUACUAACAUAUGUGCUUGCAGAUGCGUUUACUAUUUUGCUAGGAUGUAGCUUUAGUAGUGAUAGCAUAAGUAGCACGACAACCCCGAUGGCAGCACGUUGAUGGAUGAUCAUGGUGUGGCGCCGGUGACAAGAAGAUCGUGCCGGUGCUUUGGCGAUGGAGAUCAAGAAGCACGAGAUGAUGGCCAUAUCAUGUCACUUAUGAAUUGCAUGUGAUGUUAAUCCUUUUAUGCACCUUAUUUUGCUUAGAACGACGGUAGCAUUAUGAGGUGAUCUCUCACUAAAAUUUCAAGACGAAAUUGUGUUCUCCCCGACUGUGCACCGUUGCUACAGUUCGUCGUUUCGAGACACCACGUGAUGAUCGGGUGUGAUAGACUCAACGUUCACAUACAACGGGUGCAAAACAGUUGCGCACGCGGAACACUCGGGUUAAGCUUGACGAGCCUAGCAUGUGCAGACAUGGCCUCGGAACACAUGAGACCGAAAGGUCGAGCAUGAAUCGUAUAGUUGAUAUGAUUAGCAUAGAGAUGCUUACCACUGAAACUAUUCUCGACUCACGUGAUGAUCGGACUUGAGAUAGUGGAUUUGGAUCAUGUACCACUCAAAUUACUAGAGAGAUGUACUUUUUGAGUGGGAGUUCUUAAGUAAUAUGAUUAAUUGAACUAAUUGUCAUGAACAUAGUCUAAUGGUCUUUGCGAAUUAUGAUGUAGCUUGCGCUAUAGCUCUACCUUUUUUAUAUGUUCCUAGAGAAAAUUUAGUUGAAAAUUGAUAGUAGCAAACUUUGCAGACUGAGUCUGUAAAACCGAGGAUUGUCCUCGUUGCUACGCAGAAGGCUUAUGUCCUUAAUGCACCACUCGGUGUGCUGCACCUCGAGCGUCGUCUGUGGAUGCUAUGAACAUCCGACAUACACGUUGCUGAUGACUACACGAUAGUUCAGUGCAAAAUACUUAAUGGCUUAGAAGCAAGGCGUCGAAAACGUUGUAAAACGUCACGGAACAUAAGUGAUGUUCUAAAGAGAUGAAAUUUGUGAUUUCAUGCUUGUGCCCUUGUUAAGAGGUACGAGACCUCCGACAAGAUUCUUUGUCCACAAACCACAGGAGAAAAGGCUCAAUCGUUGAGCAUGUGCUCAGAUUGUCUGAGUACGACAAUCGCUUGAAUCAAGUGGGAGUUAAUCUUCCAGAUGAGAUAGUGAUAGUUCUCCAAAGUCACUGCCACCAAGCUGUGAGAGCUUCGUGAUGAACUAUAACAUAUCAAGGAUACAUACAAUGAUCCUUGAGCGAUUCACGAUGUUUGACACUGCGAAAGUAGAAAUCAAGAAGGAGCAUCAAUAGUUGAUGGUUUGUGAAACCACUAAGUUUCAAGAAAGGCAAGGGCUAGAAGGGAUACUUCGUGAAACGGCAAAACAGUUGCUGCACUGAUGAAGAGACCCAAGAUUGAACCCAAACCCAAGACUAAGUGCUUCUAUAAUGAGGGGAACAAUCACCGAGGCGGAGCAACUCAAGAUACUUGGUAAAUAAGAAGGCUGGCAAAAGUCGAAAGAAGAGUGUUUGAUGUGCAUGAUGUUGAUGUGUACUUUACUAGUACUCCUAGUAGCACGAGGGUAUUGGAUACCGGUUCGGUUGCUAAGUGAUUAGUGACGCGAAAUGAAAGCUACGGCAUAAACGGAGACUAGCUAAAGGCGAGGUGACAAUACGUGUUGGAAGUGUUUCCAAGAUUGAUAUGAUCAAACGUCGCAUGCUCCCUCUACCAUCGGGAUUGGUGUUAAACCUAAAUAAUUGUUAUUUGGUGCUUGCGUUAAGCAUGAACAUGAUUGGAUCGUGUUUAUCGCAAUACGAUUGUUCAUUUAAGGAGAAUAAUGGUUACUCUAUUCUCUUGAAUAUUCACCUUCAAUGGUUUAUUGAAUCUCGAUCGUAGUGUUACACAUGUUCAUGAUAUUGGUGCCAAAAGAUACGAGUUAAUGAUGAUAGUACCACUUACUUGUGGCUCUGCCGCUUGAGUCAUGUUAGUAUAAAUUGCAUGAAGAGGCUCCAUGCUGAUGGAUCUUCGUACUCACCUCAUUUCAAAUCACUAGUGACAUGCAAAUCAUACCACAUGAGCAAGGCCUUGUUUUCAUUGAGAUGAAAUAAGAUAGUAACUUGUUGGAAGUGAUACAUUUUGAUGUAUGCAGUCCAAUGGGUGCUGAGGCACGUAGUGGAUAUCAUUAUGUUCUUACUUCACUGACGAUUUGAGUAGAUACAGGAGUAUUUACUUAAUGAAUCACAAGUCUGAAAUGUUGAAAAGUUCAAUUCCGUUUCAGAGUGAAGUUCGUCGUAACAAGAGGAUAAACUGUCUACGAUAUGAUCAUGGAAAUGAAUAUCUGAGUUACGAGUUUUGGUACACAGUUAAGACAAUGUGGAAAUUGUUUCGCAGUUCAUGCCACCUGGAACAUCAUAGUGUGAUGAUGUGUCUGAACGUCAUAGCCACGCACUAUUUGGUAUGGUGCAUACUAUGAUGUCUCUUAUCGAAUUACCACUAUCGUUUAUGGGUUAUGCAUUAGAGACAACCGCACUCACUUUAAAUAGGGCACCGCAUAUUUCCGUUGAGAUGACACAGUAUAGACUGAGGUUUAGAGAAAUCUAAACUGUCGUUUCUUGAAAGUUUGGGGCUUCGACACUUAUGUGAAGAAGUUUCAGUCUGAUAAGCUCGAACCCAAAGCGGAUAAAUGCAUCUUCAUAAGGAUAUCCAAAACAGUUGGGUACAUCUCCUAUCUCAGAUUCGAAAGCAAAGUGUUUGUUUCUAGAAACGGAUCCUUUCUCGAGGAAAGGUUUCUCUCGAAAGAAUUGAGUGGGAGGGUAGUAGAACUUGAUGAGGUUGUUGAACCAUCACUUCAACCAGUGUAUAGCAGGGCGCAGGAAGUUGUUCAUGUGGCGCCUACACCAAUUGAAGUGGAAGCUGAUGAUGAUGAUCAUUGAGCUUCGAAUCAAGUUACUACAAACCUCGUAGGUCGACAAGGUCGCGUACUGCUGCAGAGUAGUACGGUAACCCUGUCUUGGAGGUCAUGUUGUUGAGCAACAGUGAACCUACGAGUUAUGGAGAAAGCGAUGGUGGGCCCAGAUUCCGACAAAUGGCUGGAAGCCAUGAAAUCCGAGAGAGGAUCCAUGUGUGAAAACAAAGUGUAGACUUUGGUAGAACUACUUGAUGGUCAUAGGACUAUUGAGUAAAAUGGAUCUUUAAAAGAAGACAGACGAUGAUGGUGAUAAGUCACUAUUAAGAAACGCUCGACUUGUCGCAAAGAUGUUUUCGAUAAGAUCAAACAGUUGACUAUGAUGAGACUUUCUCACUCGUAGCGAUGCUAAAAGUCUGUUAGAAUUAUGUUAGUUGUUGAUGCAUUAUUUAUGAAAUAUUGCACGUAGGAUGUCAAAACAUUGUUUUCUCGACGGUUUCCUUGAGCAAACAUUGUAUGUGAUACAACUAGAAGGUUUUGUAGAUCCUAAAGAUACUAGCAAGUAUGCAAGCUCCAGUGAUCCUUCAAUGGACUGGUGCAAGCAUCUCAGAGUUGGAAUAUACACUUUGAUGAGAUGAUCAAAGAUUUUGGGUUUGUACAAGGUUUAUGAGAAACUUGUAUUUCCAAAGAAGUGAGUGGGAGCACUAUAGAAUUUCUGAUAAGUAUAUGUGGUUGACAUAUUGUGGAUCAGAAGUAAUGUAGAAUUUCUGUAAAGCAUACAAGGUUGUUUGAAAGAAGUUUUCAAAGGAAUACCUGGAUUACGCUACUUGAACGUUGAGCAUCAAAGAUCUAUGGAGAUUGAUCGAAAGCGCUUAAUAGAAGUUUCAACAAGAUGCAUGCCUUGACAAGUUUUUGAAAGAGUUCAAAAUAGACCAGCAAAGAAGGAGUUCUUGGUUGCGUUGUGAGGUGUGAAUUUGAGUAAGACUCAAAACCCGACCACGGCAGAAUAAAGAGAAUAGACGAAGGUCGUCUUCUAUGCCUUAGCCGUAGAAUCUAAAGUAUGCCAUGCUGUGUACCGCACCUGAAGUGUGCCUUGACUCAAAGUGUGUUAAGAGGUACAGAGAGUGAUCCAUGAUUGAAUCACUAGCAGCGGUCGAAAUUUAUCCUUAGUGACUAAUGGACUAAGGAAUUUUUCUCGAUUAUGGAGGUGGUUAAAGAGUUUGUCGUAAAGGGUUACGUCAAUGCAAGCUUUGACACUAAUCCGGAUAACUAUGAGUAGUGAAACGGAUUCGUAUAGUAGAGCAGAUAUUUGGAGCAUUUCCGAAUAGCGCGUAGUAGCAGCAUCUAUAAGAUGACAUAAAGAUUUGUAAAGAACGCACGAAUCUGAAAGUUUCAGAACCGUUGACUAAAACCUCUCUCACGAGCAAGACGUGAUCAGACCCCAUAACUAUAUGGGUGUUGGAUUCGUUGGAAUCACAUGGUGAUGUGAACUAGAUUAUUGACUCUAGUGCAAGUGGGAGACUGUUGGAAAUAUGCCCUAGAGGCAAUAAUAAAUUAGUUAUUAUUAUAUUUCUUAGUUCAUGAUAAUCGUUUAUUAUCCAUGCUAUAAUUGUAUUGAUUGGAAACACAAUACUUGUGUGGAUACAUAGACAAAACACUGUCCCUAGUAAGCCUCUAGUUGACUAGCUCGUUGAUCAAAGAUGGUCAAGGUUUCCUGGCCAUAGGCAAGUGUUGUCAGUUGAUAACGGGAUCACAUCAUUAGGAGAAUCAUGUGAUGGACUAGACCCAAACUAAUAGACGUAGCAUGUUGAUCGUGUCAUUUUGUUGCUACUGUUUUCUGCGUGUCAAGUAUUUGUUCCUAUGACCANNNNNNNNNNNNNNNNNNNNNNNNNNNNNNNNNNNNNNNNNNNNNNNNNNNNNNNNNNNNNNNNNNNNNNNNNNNNNNNNNNNNNNNNNNNNNNNNNNNNGGUGUUUGCGUAAGUAAGAUGCGAUCCUACUAGAUACCCUUGGUCACCACGUAAAACAUGCAACAACAAAAUUAGAGGACGUCUAACUUGUUUUUGCAGGGUAUGAUUGUGAUGUGAUAUGGCCAACGAUGUGAUGUGAUAUAUUGGAUGUAUGAGAUGAUCAUGUUGUAAUAGAAAUAUCGACUUGCACGUCGAUGGUACGGCAACCGGCAGGAGCCAUAGGGUUGUCAUUAUACUAACGUUUGUGCUUGCAGAUGCGUUUACUAUUUUGCUAGGAUGUAGCUUUUGUAGUAAUAGCAUGAGUAGCACGACAACCCCGAUGGCGACACGUUGAUGGAGAUCAUGAGGAUGGAGAUCAUGGUGUGACGCCGGUGACAAGAAGAUCGUGCCGGUGCUUUGGUGAUGGAGAUCAAGAAGCACAUGAUGAUGGCCAUAUCAUGUCACUUAUGAAUUGCAUGUGAUGUUAAUCCUUUUAUGCACCUUAUUUUGCUUAGAACGACGGUAGCAUUAUGAGGUGAUCUCUCACUAAAAUUUCAAGACGAAAUUGUGUUCUCCCCGACUGUACACCGUUGCGACAGUUCGUCGUUUAGAGACACCACGUGAUGAUCGGGUGUGAUAGACUCAACGUUCACAUACAACGGGUGCAAAACAGUUGCGCACGCGGAACACUCGGGUUAAGCUUGACGAGCCUAGCAUGUGCAGACAUGGCCUCGGAACACAUGAGACCGAAAGGUCGAGCAUGAAUCGUAUAGUUGAUAUGAUUAGCAUAGAGAUGCUUACCACUGAAACUAUUCUUGACUCACGUGAUGAUCGGACUUGAGAUAGUGGAUUUGGAUCAUGUACCACUCAAAUGACUAGAGAGAUGUACUUUUUGAGUGGGAGUUCUUAAGUAAUAUGAUUAAUUGAACUAAUUGUCAUGAACAUAGUCUAAUGGUCUUUGCGAAUUACGAUGUAGCUUGCGCUAUAGCNNNNNNNNNNNNNNNNNNNNNNNNNNNNNNNNNNNNNNNNNNNNNNNNNNNNNNNNNNNNNNNNNNNNNNNNNNNNNNNNNNNNNNNNNNNNNNNNNNNNUUUCCUCGACGGUUUCCUUGAGCAAACAUUGUAUGUGAUACAACCAGGAGGUUUUGUCGAUCCUAAAGAUACUAGCAAGUAUGCAAGUUCCAGCGAUCCUUCAAUGGACUGGUGCAAGCAUCUCGGAGUUGGAAUAUAUAUACUUUGAUGAGAUGAUCAAAGAUUUUGGGUUUGUACAAGGUUUAUGAGAAACUUGUAUUUCCAAAGAAGUGAGUGGGAGCACUAUAGAAUUUCUGAUAGGUAUAUGUGGUUGACAUAUUGUGGAUCAGAAGUAAUGUAGAAUUUCUGUAAAGCAUACAAGGUUGUUUGAAAGAAGUUUUCAAAGGAGUACCUGGAUUACGCUACUUGAACGUUGAGCAUCAAAGAUCUAUGGAGAUAGAUCAAAAGCGCUUAAUAGAAGUUUCAACAAGAUGCAUGCCUUGACAAGUUUUUGAAGGAGUUCAAAAUAGAUCAGUAAAGAAGGAGUUCUUGGUUGCAUUGUAAGGUGUGAAUUUGAGUAAGACUCAAAACCUGACCACGGCAGAAUAAAGAGAAUAGACGAAGGUCGUCUUCUAUGCCUUAGCCGUAGAAUCUAAAGUAUGCCAUGUUGUGUACCGCACCUGAUGUGUGCCUUGACUCAAAGUCUGUUGAGAGGUACAGAGAGUGAUCCAUGAUUGAAUCACUAGCAGCGGUCGAAAUUUAUCCUUAGUAACUAAUGGACUAAGGAAUUUUUCUCGAUUAUGGAGGUGGUUAAAGAGUUUGUCGUAAAGGGUUACGUCAAUGCAAGCUUUGACACUAAUCCGGAUAACUAUGAGUAGUGAAACGGAUUCGUAUAGUAGAGUAGAUAUUUGGAGCAUUUCCGAAUAGCACGUAGUAGCAGCAUCUAUAAGAUGACAUAAACAUUUGUAAAGAACGCACGAAUCUGAAAGUUUCAGAACCGUUGACUAAAACCUCUCUCACGAGCAAGACGUGAUCAGACCCCAUAACUAUAUGGGUGUUGGAUUCGUUGGAAUCACAUGGUGAUGUGAACUAGAUUAUUGACUCUAGUGCAAGUGGGAGACUGUUGGAAAUAUGCCCUAGAGGCAAUAAUAAAUUAGUUAUUAUUUUAUUUCUUAGUUCAUGAUAAUCGUUUAUUAUCCAUGCUAUAAUUGUAUUGAUUGGAAACACAAUACUUGUGUGGAUACAUAGACAAAACACUGUCCCUAGUAAGCCUCUAGUUGACUAGCUCGUUGAUCAAAGAUGGUCAAGGUUUCCUGGCCAUAGGCAAGUGUUGUCACUUGAUAACGGGAUCACAUCAUUAGGAGAAUCAUGUGAUGGACUAGACCCAAACUAAUAGACGUAGCAUGUUGAUCGUGUCAUUUUGUUGCUACUGUUUUCUGCGUGUCAAGUAUUUGUUCCUAUGACCAUGAGAUCAUAUAACUCACGGACACCGGAGGAAUGCUUUGUGUGUAUCAAACGUCGCAACGUAACUGGGUGACUAUAAAGNNNNNNNNNNNNNNNNNNNNNNNNNNNNNNNNNNNNNNNNNNNNNNNNNNNNNNNNNNNNNNNNNNNNNNNNNNNNNNNNNNNNNNNNNNNNNNNNNNNNCGUUCCAGCGCCACCGGCUGGGUCGCCUGGGGCAUCAACCCCGGCGGCGCCGGCAUGGCCGGCAGCAACGUCUUCCUCGCCUCGCAGGGCGGCGGCGGCGGCGCCGCCGUCUCCGUGCUCACCACCGUCCUGAGGAGCACGGCCCCGGCCCUGGACAACACCACCCUCCAGUUCGGCGUGCCGGUGCCGCCCACCGCCGAGUACGCGGCCGGCGCCUACACGAUCUACGUGACGGUGGCGCUGCCGGGGAACUCCACGCAGCAGAACACGGUGUGGCAGGCGGGGCCGGUCAGCGGCGGGGCCAUAAUGCCGCACCCGGUGUCCGGGCCCAACUUGCAGAGCGUUAAGAGGCAGGACUUCCUGUCCGGCUAGAGCGCCCGACGAGGCAUAUGUUUGUACGCAAAUACUGUCAGUGUCAUGAUCAUGGAGUAUAAAAUAAAUCGCACGGCUUAUUCCUCAUGUUCCUGCUAUUAGACGUCGACGUCGUAUCAAAUGAAGUGUGCGCUAAACACUGUUUAUACGCUCCCAGCCGGAUUUAGGGACAUGGCUUACGGCGAUUAGUAUUUUUUUUCCGACGAAUUCACAAAGCUUUAUUAAUACUAGCAAAAGGGCCCGUGCGUUGCAACGGGAGAAAGAAAAUACCACACGCUUUUAAUCUUUUUAUAAUCAUUUUGAUUUAUUAGAAUAAUAAGUUAACUAACUAAUGUAGCCAGUCCUAUCCUAUUUUGUUGAGAAAUCAACCCGUCCAUUGUUAAUUCCACCGUGAUGAGAAAUCGAACGGGACAAGCAAAGCAAAACAAAGAGGCUACGUGAAUUGAUCAAUGGACUGUUAUCUUAUUUCACCCAUGGGGUAGAGAAUGUGGGAUCAGAUGACAAACUGAAGGUGGUGUUCCAUUUUCUCUCUCUACAACAAUGCAAUCUUACAUUCAAUACAUUCAUUCAUCAGCAAAAAAAUUCUCACAAAACAAAAUUUCUUGCCGGUGCUUGGCACACGGUUGGAGAGCAUGGGGAGGGGAUCUCACCAAAUGAUGAGUUCCUGCCGGAGGAGGGGAUACGAUGAGGGGAGCAAGGGUUAGGCGCCUCUAUCUGGCCAUAAGGAGUCGCCGUUGCCGCGCCAUAACCUCGGAGUUCCCCGUGUGAGCCAUGGAGGCCCGCCUCCACCUGCAAGUACUUCGCUCCGCCGCGCCUUAUCCGCACGCCGUCGCCGUUCUGCAUCGAGUAGACGCAUCAUCCCAAGUCGAUGUAGCUGUCGCGUUGAUUUGAUCCAGAAGCUGUGCUCGAGCGCCGAAACAGGGGCAACAAACGGGCAGAGGUACGACCGCGGAGGCGGCUGGGUUGAGAUCGACAACAAUGGUGGUUGAGGUCGGCCGCGGCGACGAGUGGUGUGGCAGCGGCCUGGGCACAGGCCAGGGUGGACCAGGGUCAACGCGAUGCGCUCGAGCGCCGCAACGGGGGCAGUGAGCGGGGAGAGGUACAACCGCGGAGGCGGGUGGGUUGAGAUCGGCAGCGGUGGCGGUUGAGGUCGGCCGCGACGGCGAGUGGUGUGGCGGCCGCCUAGGCAUAGGCCAGGGGUGGCCGAGGGUCGAUGGGAGGAGGCGGUGCGUACGGGUAUAAUUUUUGCAGCGAAUCGUUUUUUCCUUUUGCGAUUACGAGAAGUAAAUGAUGGAGUGCGGGUUGAAUAACAAAAAUUACAGUUUUUUWWUAAAAUGCCAUGAUGGGUUUUCCGACGGAAGCAAUAGCCGCUUUAUUAUUAGGUAUAGACUAGCAAAAGGUCCGUGGUUGCAACGGAAGAAAAAAUAUCACACGGUUUUAAUUUUUAUAAUCAUUUUAAUUUAUUAAAAUAAUAAGCUAACUAACUAAUGUAGUAAGUCCUAUCCUAUUUUGUUGGAAAAUCAACCCGUCCAUUGUUAAUUCCAUCAUGAUGAGAAAUUGAGCGGGACAAUCAAAGCAAAACAAAGAGGCUACCUGAAUUGAUCAAUGGACUGUUAUCUUAUUUCACUCAUGGGCUAGAGAAUGUGGGAUCAGAUGACAAACUGAAGGUGGUGUUCCAUUCUCUCUCUCUACAACAACGCAAUCUUACAUUAAAUACAUUCAUUCAUCAGCAAACAAAUUCCCACAAAACAAAAUUUCGUGCCGGUGCUUGGCACACGGUUGGAGGCAUGGGGAGGGGAUCUCACCAGAUGAUGAGUUCCUGCCGGAGGAGGGGAUACAUUGAGGGGAGCAAGGGUUAGGCGCCUCUAUCUGGCCAUAAGGAGUCGCCGUUGCCGCGCCAUAACCUCGGAGUUCCCCGUGUGAGCCAUGGAGGCCCGCCUCCACCUGCAAGUACUUCGCUCCGCCGCGCCUUAUCCGCACGCCGUCGCCGUUCUGCAUCGAGUAGACGCAUCAUCCCAAGUCGAUGUAGCUGUCGCGUUGAUUUGAUCCAGAAGCUGUGCUCGAGCGCCGAAACAGGGGCAACAAACGGGCAGAGGUACGACCGCGGAGGCGGCUGGGUUGAGAUCGACAACAAUGGUGGUUGAGGUCGGCCGCGGCGACGAGUGGUGUGGCAGCGGCCUGGGCACAGGCCAGGGUGGACCAGGGUCAACGCGAUGCGCUCGAGCGCCGCAACGGGGGCAGUGAGCGGGGAGAGGUACAACCGCGGAGGCGGGUGGGUUGAGAUCGGCAGCGGUGGCGGUUGAGGUCGGCCGCGACGGCGAGUGGUGUGGCGGCCGCCUAGGCAUAGGCCAGGGUGGCCGAGGGUCGAUGGGAGGAGGCGGUGCGUACGGGUAUAAUUUUUGCAGCGAAUCGUUUUUUCCUUUUGCAUUACAGAUAAAUGAUGGAGUGCGGGUUGAAUAACAAAAAUUACAGUUUUUUUAUAAAAUGCCAUGAUGGGUUUUCCGACGGAAGCAAUAGCCGCUUUAUUAUUAGGUAUAGACUAGCAAAAGGUCCGUGGUUGCAACGGAAGAAAAAAUAUCACACGGUUUUAAUUUUUAUAAUCAUUUUAAUUUAUUAAAAUAAUAAGCUAACUAACUAAUGUAGUAAGUCCUAUCCUAUUUUGUUGGAAAAUCAACCCGUCCAUUGUUAAUUCCAUCAUGAUGAGAAAUUGAGCGGGACAAUCAAAGCAAAACAAAGAGGCUACCUGAAUUGAUCAAUGGACUGUUAUCUUAUUUCACUCAUGGGCUAGAGAAUGUGGGAUCAGAUGACAAACUGAAGGUGGUGUUCCAUUCUCUCUCUCUACAACAACGCAAUCUUACAUUAAAUACAUUCAUUCAUCAGCAAACAAAUUCCCACUAAAACAAAAUUAACUUGUCGGUCGGCGUGUCGUCGACGUACGGUACGGGUCGGANNNNNNNNNNNNNNNNNNNNNNNNNNNNNNNNNNNNNNNNNNNNNNNNNNNNNNNNNNNNNNNNNNNNNNNNNNNNNNNNNNNNNNNNNNNNNNNNNNNNUGCAAGCRAUGUAACUUAGUGUAAGUUACGGGAUCUUGUAUUACGGAACGAGUAAAGAGACUUGCCGGUAAACGAGAUUAGAAAUAGGUAUGCGGAUACUGACGAUCGAAUCGUCGGGCAAGUAACAUACCGAAGGACAAAGGGAAUGACAUACGGGAUUAUACGAAUCCUUGGCACUGAGGUUCAAACGAUAAGAUCUUCGUAGAAUAUGUAGGAUCCAAUAUGGGCAUCCAGGUCCCGCUAUUGGAUAUUGACCGAGUAGUCUCUCGGGUCAUGUCUACAUAGUUCUCGAACCCGCAGGGUCUGCACACUUAAGGUUCGACGUUGUUUUAUGCGUAUUUGAGUUAUAUGGUUGGUUACCGAAUGUUGUUCGGAGUCCCGGAUGAGAUCACGGACGUCACGAGGGUUUCCGGAAUGGUCCGGAAACGAAGAUUGAUAUAUAGGAUGACCUCAUUUGAUUACUGGAAGGUUUUCGGAGUUACCGGGAAUGUACCGGGAAUGACGAAUGGGUUCCGGGAGUUCACCGGGGGGGGCAACCCACCCCGGGGAAGCCCAUAGGCCAUAAGGGUGGAGCACCAUCCCUUAGUGGGCUGGUGGGGCAGCCCAAAAGGGCCCUAUGCGCCAAGGAUAAGAAAUCAAAGGAAAAAAAGGAGGAGGUGGGAAGGGAGGGGGACUCCCUCCCACCAAACCUAGUCCAACUCGGUUUUGGGGGGGGAGAGUCCUCCCCCUUGGCUCGGCCGACCCCCUUGAGGGUCCUUGGACCCCAAGGCAAGGCCCCUCCCUCCCACCUAUAUAUACGGAGGUUUUAGGGCUGAUUUGAGACGACUUUUCCACGGCAGCCCGACCACAUACCUCCACGGNNNNNNNNNNNNNNNNNNNNNNNNNNNNNNNNNNNNNNNNNNNNNNNNNNNNNNNNNNNNNNNNNNNNNNNNNNNNNNNNNNNNNNNNNNNNNNNNNNNNGAGAUAUAGUGAGUUGACUAUUUAACCUCAUCCAAGGACCUCCUCGGUCAAAUCCGAUUCAACUAAAGUWGGAGAAACCGUCACUUGCCAGUCAUCUUUGAGCAAAGGGGGUUACUCGUAACGAUGAAACCAGUCUCUCGUAAGCGUACGAGUAAUGUCGGUCCAAGCCGCUUCAAUCCAACAAUACCGCGGAAUCAAGAAAAGACUAAGGAGGGCAGCAAAACGCACAUCACCGCCCACAAAAACUUUUGUGUUCUACUCGAGAAGACAUCUACGCAUGAACCUAGCUCAUGAUGCCACUGUUGGGGAACGUCGCAAGGGAAACAAAAAUUUUCCUACGCGCACGAAGACCUAUCAUGGUGAUGUCCAUCUACGAGAGGGGAUGAGUGAUCUACGUACCCUUGUAGACCGUACAGAAGAAGCGUUAGAGAACGCGGUUGAUGUAGUGGAACGUCCUCACGUCCCUCGAUCCGCCCCGCGAACAAUUCCGCGAUCAGUCCCACGAUCUAGUUACCGAACGGACGGCAACCUCCACGUUCAGCACACGUACAGCUUGACGAUGAUCUCGGCCUUCUUGAUCCAGCAAGAGAGGCGGAGAGGUAGAAGAGUUCUCCGGCAGCGUGACGGCGCUCCGGAGGUUCGGUUGACUGACCCUUCGUUCCUACGUACGUCCGACGGGCGUCCCGUCCCGGACGCUGNNNNNNNNNNNNNNNNNNNNNNNNNNNNNNNNNNNNNNNNNNNNNNNNNNNNNNNNNNNNNNNNNNNNNNNNNNNNNNNNNNNNNNNNNNNNNNNNNNNNAGCAAUGUAACUUAAUGUAAGUUGCGGGAUCUUGUAUUACGGAACGAGUAAAGAGACUUGCCGGUAAACGAGAUUGAAAUAGGUAUGCGGAUACUGACGAUCGAAUCUCGGGCAAGUAACAUACCGAAGGACAAAGGGAAUGACAUACGGGAUUAUAUGAAUCCUUGGCACUGAGGUUCAAACGAUAAGAUCUUCGUAGAAUAUGUAGGAUCCAAUAUGGGCAUCCAGGUCCCGCUAUUGGAUAUUGACCGAGGAGUCUCUCGGGUCAUGUCUACAUAGUUCUCGAACCCGCAGGGUCUGCACACUUAAGGUUCGACGUUGUUUUAUGCGUAUUUGAGUUAUAUGGUUGGUUACCGGUAMUGUAGCAUCAUUCCCACUCUUCUUUUGUACUGAUUUUGUUUUUUUUCAGAUUUCUUCAUUUCAUUGUUUCCACUGUUUCGCUUUGGUUUCCUUCGAUUUUCUUCGGGUUUCUAUUCGUUUCCUUYGUUUYCYAACGGUUUUUCGUUUUUCCUCUUUGUUGUUUCUUUCUUUUUUUUCUAUGGUUUUGCAUCUUUUUUAACUCAUGUCUAUUUUUUUACACACAAUGUACAUUUUUUGUAUACAUCAGAAAUAACUUUUAUACAUGGUUAAAUAUAUGAUUACCAGUUUUCUUAAACACAUGUUUCGANNNNNNNNNNNNNNNNNNNNNNNNNNNNNNNNNNNNNNNNNNNNNNNNNNNNNNNNNNNNNNNNNNNNNNNNNNNNNNNNNNNNNNNNNNNNNNNNNNNNCGGAACGAAACGUAAAACUAAAACUUACCGUACGACCGACCGAACGAACGUAACCUACUACUAGUGGUGAUCGUCCAUCUACGAGGAGGGAGUGAGUGAUCUACGUACCUAGUAGAUCGUACAGCAGAAGCGUUAGAGAACGCGGUUGAUGUAGUGGAACGUCCUCACGUCCCUCGAUCCGCCCCGCGAACAAUCCCGCGAUCAGUCCCACGAUCUAGUACCGAACGGACGGCACCUCCGCGUUCAGCACACGUACAGCUCGACGAUGAUCUCGGCCUUCUUGAUCCAGCAAGAGAGACGGAGAGGUAGAAGAGUUCUCCGGCAGCGUGACGGCGCUCCGGAGGUUGGUGAUGAUCUUGUCUCAGCAGGGCUCCGCCCGAGCUCCGCAGAAACACGAUCUAGAGGAAAAACUAUGGAGGUAUGUGGUCGGGCAGCCGUGAGAAAGUCGUCUCAAAUCAGCCCUAAUACCUCAGUAUAUAUAGGAGGGAGGGGAGGGAAGAGGCAGCCUCAAACCCUCAAGGUUGCCGAAAUUGGAGGUGGAGGAGUCCUACUCCAAUCCUACUUGAGUAGGAUUCCACCUUCCCACUUCGAAACUACUUUCCUACCUUGUGUUUUUCUUUCUUCUAACCUUAACUUAGGUCCGUUACGUUGGGUACGUUAGUUACUACGNNNNNNNNNNNNNNNNNNNNNNNNNNNNNNNNNNNNNNNNNNNNNNNNNNNNNNNNNNNNNNNNNNNNNNNNNNNNNNNNNNNNNNNNNNNNNNNNNNNNAAGGGUUGGGUUUGAGGGAUUCUGUUAUAAGGGUUGCAUUUGAGGGUUCUAGUCUUUGCCUCAAUCCCAACCCUUAAAACUGUCAUUUGAUAUAUCAUAAUUUUCAUCAUCUCAAUAACAUCGAAUAGUAUUUUCAAACACAUAAUAUUAAUUCAAUUUAUUACAACAAUGUUUUAAAGCAAAUUAUAAUAAUUGUUUGAAUCAAAUAGAACAUGGAAAAGUAAACAAAGGUAGAUCAUGGGACUUGGCGCCGUCCAGCCAACUGCCACUGGUGCUCUACUUGAUCAUCCCGGAGCUGCCACUGGUACGCACUAAACCCCAUGAUACCGACGGCGUAUCUACGAUGCUUGAAGUAAUCUGAGUCAGCCUCACAAUCGGUGACAAUUUUUACAAACAAACUACGACACAUUCGGUACCUUCUCCGGAAGAGGCGAGGUGGGUAUGUCGGUACCUCCGCGAAGUAGUCUCGCAUCAAAUGUUCAUGUCCGAGACAGCGGUUCCGGUAGAUGGUGACUCGCGCCAUCUUCGACCCUCUCCUCUGAUCCAUCAGCUUCACGCGGUCUUCAAACUCUUUCACGUCGACGAGGAGGCCCAUCAUCUCGAUGUCAUUGUCUUGAAGCAAGUCCUCAAUGUCCGAAUCGUCCGAUGACGACCAACCGGAAUCAUCGGACAACACAUCCAUCUACACAACACAAAACAAAAAAUGUAGUGUUGUUCUGUAACAAAAAUACAGGAAACAGGGCCGGCCGGAGCCCACGAUGGAGGAGGCCGACGGUGUGGACGAGCUCAGGGCGGUGGAGGAGCUCGGGGNNNNNNNNNNNNNNNNNNNNNNNNNNNNNNNNNNNNNNNNNNNNNNNNNNNNNNNNNNNNNNNNNNNNNNNNNNNNNNNNNNNNNNNNNNNNNNNNNNNNUUUUUUUUUUUUUUUUUACAACAGUUUGCACUUUGCAGCGGCCUAGAUAUCACAGCAGGAACCGGUCUCCCUCCCUCGGUUAUUCAGCGCCUUUUUUUAGACGAAGGUUUAUCGUUCAGCAGCCAACAAGACUCUGUCCCGCGUACCGGCGUGGAAGUUUCCACCCGCACGGCAACCUCCCCAACAACCGCGCCAUCACGUCGCCGGCUCGCCGGCAGUGGUACAUAUACCUCCUCCCCCCCCACCUCCUCCUCUCACCACCACCAGCUCCCAGCACCACCAUCUCCAUCGCCUCCCGCGCUCCAUUUCGCGCCUCGAACCUCGUGCUCUGACCUCCACCGCUGCCAUGGCGCGGCCAGGCCACUCCACGGCGUGGCUCCCCGUCCUGGUGCUGCUGCUCUCCGCGGCGGGCGCGACGGCGCAGAGCUGCCUCUCCGCGACCUUCACGUCCGGCCGCACGUUCCUCAAGUGCAACCAGCUGCCCGUGCUCGGCGCCAGCCUCCACUGGACGUUCCACGCCCAGAACGGCACCGCCGACGUCGCGUUCCGGGCCCCGUCCGGCGCCGACGGGUGGGUCGCCUGGGGCAUCNNNNNN